CAUCAGAUGCACCGGUUGAUAUGAGCGAGAGUUUUGGAUUAACAAACAUCAAAUCCACUCCACUUGAAGUUCUUAUCUCCCCACGCUUGGCUUCUUAUGAUCUUUAUGAGUAGAACUUGAGGUCGCUAAGAGACUUAUUUCAAAAAACCUAGUGCUAUGAAAUGUGAAAUAAAAAUAAAUUUCAUACAUGUAGCAUAAGUUUAGUAUUAUUUUAAAGCAGUUACUAAUGUGUGUCCUUUAGUAUUGUCUUAGCUUGAAUUUAAUAAAAAAAUAUUUUCGACAACUAUUUUGUGUGGACAAGUAAUGACCCAAUUUCUUGUUAUGUUUCUUCAUUCUUCCAUGAAAGAGAAUUUAGAAGAAAAAGUGGCAUAUAGCAUUACAAUUGAAAAAUUAAUAAGCAUGUACUCCACCAUAUGCAUAUAUAUGCAUAGUAGACUUAAUGAAUUUCCAAGUUGAUUAAUUGGUAUCUCCUUUUGAUAGAUUUCAGCCACCUUUUUGUACAUGAUUAAAGUAGUAAUGGAGACUAAAAUUACAACUCCCAUUUCAUUGUAAAAAGUUGGGAUGUGCAAGGUGGGUCAGUUCAAUUUUGGGCAUUAAAAUCGAAUCGAAUCGAAUUGAACCCAAAAGAGGAAAAUGAUUAGUUUGACUUGAUUAACAAUAAUCUAAGUUGGUUUAUUUUGCUUCUAUUUAUAACAUCAAUUUUUUUUUUAAUUUGAACGAAAAUAAUAUUAUUGAAGCAAGUCAUCUUUGGACGGUUGAAAUGAUAUUAUUACAACUAAUUUCAAAUCAUAUUAUUAUAACUUAAUGACAUGAAUAGGUAUUAUUGUAACCCAUGUCAAUCAUAUCAAAUAGUCCAAGUCAUAGAUAAAAGUUAUAAAGGUGUGAUUGGGAGUUCCAUCCAAUGUGAAAAAUGUAUACCAAAUUAAUAAUGUAACCAAUUGUUAUACUGUAUAUUAUUAUUGUGUGUGUAUAGCUUUCAAUUCAAUUCAGUUUGGUUCAUUAAUUUUUUUUUAUAGGUAAUUGAAUUGGUAUAACUUAGGUUUAUAUUUUUAAAAAUAAAAUCUUUAAAAAUUAAUAGAUUUGGGUCAAUUCCAUUGAUUUUGUCAAUCGUACACCCUAAAAGAAGGGAUGUCCACUUAUCAUCCAUAACUUUGUGUACUCCUAAGUUAGAAUUUUGCCCCAUGUGAUUCACAUUUGUACUUAUUAUUCUCAAAUUUUCGUACAAAUGAUUUAUUGUUUUGUGGAAUUUUACUCCAUGAGAUUCACAUUUGUACUUAUUAUUAUCAACUUUGUCUGCUCUUAAGUUACAAUUUCUCCUAAUUAGAUUCACAUGCGUUAUUGCCAUAAUUGACUUUCCACAUUUAUGCAUGAAUUAUUAUGUCAAUAGAUGCAUUAUCAUUUUGUCAAGUUAAUUUGACUUAGGUUAAUCACCAAAGACAAGGUGAAUUAAUUGACUCAAUUUUAAUAAAUUUUAAUUUAAAUGAGUGCAAGUAAUAAUAAUAAAACAGUAAAAAAAUACAUAAUUAAAUAAAUAAAAAGAAGAGAUAACUGGUACAAACUCCAAUUUAUAUUUUGCUCAAUCCUAUACUCUCCUCAAGCCCUCAAAUGCAAAUUGAGGGUUCCACUAGCUUUUAAGACUUCAAUCAAACCUUAAUCCUUUACACCUGGAUUCUCAAUUUCAAUGAUCUUUUUACACUUUAAUUCAAGAAAUUCCUCACUCUUGAACAUACUCAAAGGUAACACUUGAACAACAUUGAUCUCACAAAGUUUUAUUUACAGAUAAUAUAAAUGAAAACUUAAAUGGUUUUUUUUGGUUAGGAUUUCUAAAUUAAUAAGGAUUUUUACAUUAAAAAGAAAGAGUUAAGAUCAACUGGGUUUUGUAAGAUUUUGAUAUAUAUCUUAGUUUGCGAGUUUUUUGGGAUUAUAUUGUAAUCUUAUUGUUUUAUCCUAAAAUUGUCAAAAAAAGAAAUUAGUAAUUUAGUAUGGAAAUUUUACUCCAAAGAUUAUUGAUUAAAAAUUAUUUUACUAAUACCAACGUGUAAGAGUUAAAGGCAUAAAAUUGAAAUUAAAGUAAGUUUAUUAUUUUGGAUUUUGUUAAGUAAUGACAAGAUUAAUAAUUGAAAUUAAUGUAAAAAGAAGUGUAAAAACUUUAAAACUUUAAAAUAUCAUUUCAUUAUUAGUUUCCACUUGCCAACAUAGACUUCUCAUUCUAUUCUAACAAGUUUUUUGUACUUUUAUAUAUAUAUAUUUCAUAAACUUAACAAAGGAUACAAACAGCAAAAGAAAAAAAAAAUUGAGCUACUAAACCUCAAUAUAAAUUUGGGGUGAAUUGUCAAGGUCUAUUAAGGAGCAUGGGGAAGUACUGUAUCACAGAUCAAUGUGAAGAUGUAUAUAUAUUUAUAGUAUAGAACCUAAGAGAACGUUUCUUUCUAAGUUAGGUAAACAUUUCUGUCAAAGUUGAUGAAAUUUUACUAUAAUUUAUAUACACAUGCUUUCAGUGUGCAUAUAAAUUAUACGUGGAGAUGAUUUUUAACUUAUAUCUUGCUUUUUAUAUGUGAUUUAAUAUUGUUUUGGAUUAUUGAUUAUGACUUAUGAAUUAUCAUGCAUGGAACUAAUCAAAAUGAUAUAAUUAAAUUAUAUUAAUGAAUUUGAGAUAGACAUGGCAAUUAUUAAUUUAAAAUAUCUUAUAUGAACAUAAAAUUUUAAAUAUAGACUCAUAAUUUAUAUUAAAAUAAUAAAAUUAAAAAAGUACGUUUAUCUCAGAUUUAUGCCUAGGGCCCAAAUUUUGCUGAGAGACGGCCGGAUGUCAUCACAUGCAAGAAAGCUAGGAAACAAAGCUAAAGUUUGCUUCUUGUGUGGGAAGAGGUACUUCCGUGCUUGACUGAAAGAAAGGAUUUUCUACAAGAAAAAUUGUCCCCUUGUUUGUAAAGCCUCAAGUUGCGACAGCAAUAACGACAAAAGUAGGCCAAAGAAUUUGUCAUUAUUAUGAGACUAGAGAGGUUUUACUGAGAAGUUUUCCGAGCGUGAUAUCAGCAUUCGCUGUAUCACAGUGAUACAACAAAUGGUUUGAACACAGUGAUCUAGAACCCAUUAGCUCAAAUUUCAUUGAUCUGAACACGAUGAUCCUCAUCCGCAGACCAUUUUAGGGAAUAAUUAAUUCUAGCGAUUUUUUAACUGCAUGUACGAAGAACUUCAUCAAAAUUCGAUUAAGUGUAUCUUAACCAAUCUUGAUCAGUAUGCGACUGAUGAUUCUAUUUGAUAAAAGUAAUGCGGUGGCCCAACUUUAUCUUAAUUUCUAUGUUGAAAGUAAUCAUUAUAUUAUUCUAUAAUUAUAAAUGUAGACUAUGGAAUCAAGAUAACUUUGAUAUGCUGAGAUCAAAAGAGGGCGGCCACUUUAGUAGUGGACUAUAUAUACUAAAUAAAGCUGAUCGAUUAUUACAUUGGAAAAUAACAUUGAACCUAUCAUGAAAGACAACCCUACUGGACCAUGCCCCGAGUACUAAAUGCUGAUAAAAAACAAGUACAUGUUCCAAAGGAAUUGAGUCCAUAUAUACACAUUAGUGCUCAAAGAGAAAAACUAUAUAUCCACCGCUUAACUACAGUGAUCCUUUGAGCAGAAGUUAGCCAUGUAUUUCCUUUUCCAAUACCUAAACAUCACCACGGUCGGAGUCUUUGCCACACUUUUCCUUUCCUACUGUCUAUUAUUAUGGAGGUCUAGAGCUGGUAACAAAAAAAUAGCACCUGAAGCUACUGCUGCAUUGUCACGACCCAAAUUCCGGGUGACCCAUAAUUUGGCCCGUGACCCCAGGUCAAAGGUUUGACCCUAAGGGUUACUCCUAUUCCACGUUGGCAGUCAACUAAAACACUCUGAAAUUUUUUUUUUUCUCACAUAUAAGUCUCACUAGGUUCUCACCAACUAACAAUAUUUCAACCCUUACUCAAACACAUUAAGAUUUAAUAAAUAUCAUUGCAUUCCAAAAUAAAAUUUCAUAAAAAUCCCCUUAAUCGAAUUAAGGUCUUAUUACAUUAUCCAUAAUUCACUUAUUACAAGAUCUCAAUACCACAAACAUAAUAAAAAAAUAAAACACAUUCCACUAAACCGCUCCAAGGGCAUCCUGAAGUCCUCCCUGUCCCACCUGUGGAUCCUCAGGAGUGAUAUCUGCAUCUAAAAAUAUAUAUAUAAAAAAAAAGGGUGAGCAUUUCCACAUUGCUCAGUAGGGUGCCUAACACCCAAAGGGUUAAUGGGGGAUUACUAUAUUUCAAUAACCCAAACACAACAGUUUACCAAUAUAAAUCAAGUCACACAAUUUAACAUAUAAUAUUAUACUCAAUCCCACAACAUCCAAUCAUUACAUAUUAAAUUACCACCUACAUCUAUAAGUUCUUCAUCUUUUUAUAAAGGAGCUAUAGAAAUGUUAAAAAGUCGAAAGAAGACAACAAAUAGUUCUCCAAACAACACAACUGAUUUAGAUAGAUAUCUUAAUAUUGAUUUAAUUUCAUUUGAAGAUGAUGAAGAUUUUGAUAUUUUAAUAUGGUGGAAAUCACAACAACACAAAUAUCUUGUGCUUUCUAUCAUUGCUCGUGAUGUACUAACAGUUCCUGUGAGUACAGUUGCAUCAGAAGUUGCUUUUAGUGCAGGUGGAAGAGUAGUUAGUGAUAAACGAUGCAGCUUAGCGCCGGAUUCUAUUGAAGCAAAUAUAUGUCUGAAAGACUGGGCAAUAGCAGAUAAAAGGAUAUUUGAUUCUAUUCAAGAAGAAAAUAUGCUUGUCGAUAUGGAAAAACUAAAAUCAUCAGAUCUUCAUGGAUUUGCGAUAGUUAGCCAUCACCGCUAAGAGAUAAUGAUUAAAAUAUUUUACUAAAUGUAUGUCAUAUUUUUAUUUUUAUUUUUGUGGUUGAAAAGUACAAAUGAUUGACAAAUAAGUAGGUGCCAACCUAGUUGAGAUGUAUUUAUUUUGUAGUGAUGUAAACUUUUUCCACAUUUUCAAAUGUAAUGUAUAUAUUCAAUGAAUAAAAUAGUUAGCAAUGAAUAUUUUUAUUAAUGUAGCAUUUUCUAUUUUUUGAAUAUAUUUUUAUAUAUAUAUAUAUAUAUUUUUAAGUGGCGGGCCUACGGGUGGGCCCACGGCCGGGCCGGGCUUAAAUUGGGGCCCAUCCAAAAAUGGGCUCGGGUCGGGCUUUAGCCUACUGGGCCGGGCCGCGAGCUUUUUGGAGACCCUUAAUUUUUAUAAAUUACAGAAAAGAAAGAAAGAAAAAAAAAAAGAGAAAUCUACAUAUAGCUGCAUUUGUGUUUGUCAUGGAAAAUGAAAAAUAUUGCUAGAGUUUAUAAUGUAAAACAAAAUGCAAAUGUGAAACGCAAAGCAUAUAAGCUAUUUUAGGGUAAAAUCCAUGAAUGACCAAAUGGCCCAAAAAAAAGAUCAAAUUGGAAAUACGAUCGGUCAACGGUUGAAUCGAUUGGUGCAAUCCAAUUUUCAAAACCAUGAAAAUUUUAAUAUAUGACUUAAGCAUGUAAGUUUGAUAUAACAACGAGUAAAAAAUAAAUUAUAGAAUCCCUUUAGAUGAAAAAAGAUUUUAAUAAUUAUAAAUUUUUAUGAGAUGGAUAUGAUUUAUUAAGAUAAUUUUAAAAAAUAAUAAAUAAAAUUUAAUAUUAAAUUUUAUUUAUAAGAAUAAAAUAUCUUAAGAUAAUUAUGAGGGUAGGUAGAGGAUGCUAUUUUUAUGAGAAGCAUAAUAUGAUGCGUUUUGCAUUAAAAAGUCAAAUUCAUCCACACAUGUCCAUGUCUAUGAAACACAUUACACCGAACAUUAUUUUCAAAUUCGGACAUUAUUUUCAAACCCAACCUACGUAAGGCAUGUUUUUUUUUUUUUUUUUCUUUUUAAUUAUUAAAUUAGUUGUAUUUUGGUUCAAAACUCACGUGGGAAGAAGACUAGAGGGGGAACAUUUUUGUUGCGAAGCUAUACGGAAUAAAAUUUAUUCAGAAGCCGGUCAAAACUCAAAUUUAUCUGCGGAACUUUUGUACUUAUCUUUUGACAAUUGGAAUGCUUCCCUACAAAUUAACUAAAUUAAUAGUCUCCUUGUUUUAUCAGAAGCGAAGGAAAAAGUAGGACUCAUGCAUCGUACAACACAAAUAGGCAGAUCUUUAGUCAUAGAUGGUGCAUGCCGUAAAGUAGCCGUCUUGAGCUUGGUAAGAAACCAAGCUAUUAAAACUUGACUUGAACUGUUCAUUCUCAAGGGGGUAAGUGCCAGCCAGGGUUCAAAUUUUAUGAUGCGGGCAUGCAAGACUUAUACCAAUCUGCCGUUCUAAUAAUAGAAUGUAGAAGACACCAAGCACCUCCUGCAUGCAUCUUGAGGCGGUGUAGACACGCAUCCCAAGGCGAAGUUGUUCUCUACGACCUAAGGAUCAAUUUAGUAAUUGUUUUAAAAAAUAGUUUUUUGAGGUCAAUUUUUGAAAAUUAUUUUUAAAAUUUUUAAAAUAAAAAUAUGUUAGAAAACCUAAAAUAUAACAUGUUUUUAAAUUUUUUAAAUAUAUUUUAAAAAUAAUUUUUAUAUAUUUUUAAUUCUUAUAUUUAUAUAAUUAUUUUUUAAAACAACGGUUAGAAAACAAGUAAAAACAAAUAAAUUUUUUUUAAAAAAAAACAUUCUAUUUUAUGUUAUUAAUAACUUUUAAUUAUCAAAAGUUUUAUUUUAUAUUUUUUGUUUUAAAGAACAAAAAGCCUGCUCAAAAAAACAGUUGCCAUAACUUUUUUCUGAUCUGUAGUGAUCCUAGGAAGGCUGUUUUCUAAAUAUAGUAAUAUAAUAAAAAAAUGUGGUCAUAGUAAGAAAAUACCGUUUGGACAUGUCCAUGGUAUUAUGCAUAUGCUUGAACAGGGAAGCUACCCACAGUUUAACCACAGUAAUCCAAUAGCAACAUCUAAGCUACCAUGGAUUUCCUUCUCCAAUGCCUAAACCCUGCCAUGGUUGGAGCAUUUGCAAUACUUGUCCUCUCCUACUACCUGUUAUUAUGGCGGUCUGGAGCUGGUAAGGGCAGAAUGGCACCUGAAGCUGCUGGUGCAUGGCCCAUAAUAGGUCACCUACACCUCCUAGGUGGGUCUAAGAAUUUGCCCCACUUACUUUUGGGAACCAUGGCCGACAAGUAUGGAGCAGUAUUCAGCGUUCGGCUGGGAUUGGAAAGAGCUGUGGUGGUGAGUAGUUGGCAGAUGGCCAAGGAAUGCUUCACCACCCAUGACCUGGCUCUGGCCUCCCGUCCUCAACUUGUAAUCUCCAAACAAUUGGGAUAUAACGAUGCCAUGUUUGCUUUCUCUCCUCACGGUGCAUACUGGCGGGAAGUGCGAAAGAUAGCCACUCUAGAGCUCCUCUCGAACCGCCGGCUAGAGUUGCUGAAGAACGUCCGAAUCUCAGAGGUGGAGACAUGCAUGAAGGAACUAUACAAGCUUUGGGCUGAGAAGAAAAACGAGGCAGGCGUUGUUUUGGUGGACAUGAAGCAAUGGUUUGGGGACUUGACUCUGAACGUGAUUCUUAUGAUGGUUGCUGGAAAACGAUAUUUCGGUUAUACAGCCGAAAGUCAAGAGAAAGAGACCCAGCGGUGCCAGAAAUCGAUUAGGGAAUUCUUUCGUUUGUUGGGUCUCUUUGUGGUGUCGGAUGCCCUUCCUUUUCUUGGCUGGCUUGACGUGGGUGGACAUCUGAAAGCCACGAAGAAGACUGCAAAAGAAAUGGAUGGUAUUGCUCAGGAAUGGUUAGAGGAACACCGACAGCGAAAAGAUUCGGGUGAAGCUAAUGGUAACCAGGACUUAAUGGACGUGAUGCUGUCCAUUCUGGCUGGCACGGACCCUACCGGCUAUGAUGCCGAUACAAUCAACAAAGCCACAUCCCUGGUAUGCACAUUAUUCCUCGAGCACCUUUAUAUGCUACUAAAAAAAAUGACAUUCUUCUCAAGACAUAAUUUCAUGCUUUAUCCUCUUUAGUCGGGACUCUCAGACUCUCGAGAGUACUCACACCUUCAAUGGAAUAACUUUCUGUUGCUGGUUGAAGCUAGUCAAAGUCAAUACUUUUUAAAAGAUAAUAUUAGAUUUAUAAAAGUUUUAUCAAUUAUGAAAGAAUUUUUUGCAUCAGCGCAAAUAGAAUUUUUUUACUUAAAAAUAAAACGUUUUUGAUUUCAUAUUGUGUUUUAUUAUACGUUGUUAUUUGUCAAAAGAGUAACAUGAGAAGCUUCGACAAGCAAUUAUAAUGAAAUACAACCCACCUGAGAAUCUGAGCGUAACUAGAAUUAUGACGAACCUCUGGCUUGGGUGUUUGGGCUGGGCUGGUAAUGAUCCAACUCUCCUCUGGGUGGCUGGCCCAUUCUUGUCAGAAGAUCAUGAAAGUGUGUUCAUUAUUCCUCAUGCUUUGAGGCCUCAUUGACUGGGCUUCUUGAUCUUGAGUUGGUUAGACAAUUACGCCUUUCAAAGACUCCUCGUCAUAAUAAAUACAGGGGCUUUCCCUCGUAAAUUUAAGGAUUUUUAUAUUUUAUAUUUUAUUUUAAUUUUGAAGGCCAACAUGAACUUUUAUAAAAUGCUAAAUUUAUGAGCGAGUUUCAAAUUCAAGCUACUUUUGAUCGACGGACACUAAACUCUAACUCUAGAAGCAGACUCCUAUUGGUUUCUAAGGGGCACUCACUCUUGAAAAUAAAUAAAUAAAUAAAUUGAAGCCUUUUCCUCCUUAAUCCUGUUAGUAGUUAUAAUUUUAUUAACAUUAGUUAAUGUUUUGUACUUGACAGAUUUUGAUUGCAGGAGGCAGUGACACUACAUCUGUUACUCUAACAUGGGCGAUCUCACUUUUAUUGAAUAAUCCAUGUAUGUUAAGAAAAGCCCAAGAAGAAUUGGACACUCAUGUUGGUAAAGGGAGAUUGGUAAAUGAAGUGGAUUUAAGCAAGUUGGUCUACCUCCAAGCAAUUGUUAAAGAGACAUUGAGGUUAUAUCCCGCAUUUCCACUUUCAGGACCACGCCAAUUUAACCAAGAUUCCAUUUUAGGUGGUUACCGUAUCCCAAAAGGCACUCGUCUUGUGUUGAACCUCACUAAGAUCCAAAGAGACCCAAGUAUAUGGUUGAACCCAACAGAGUUUCAACCAGAAAGAUUCCUCACUACUCACAAAGACAUUGAUAUGAGGGUCAAAAAUUUUGAGUUUACACCAUUUGGUGGUGGAAGAAGAAUUUGCCCUGGUGCAACUUUUGCCCUUCAAGUGCUACACUUAACAUUAGCCAAUUUCUUGCACAAAUUUCAACUUUCGACUCCAUCAGAUGCAACAGUUGAUAUGAGCGAGAGCCUUGGGAUAACAAACAUCAAAUCCACUCCACUUGAAGUUCUCAUCUCGCCACGUUUGUCUUCUUGUGAUCUUUAUGAGUAAAACCAAUGAAUGUUGAGAGAGACUAUUUCAAGAAACCUAGUAUUAUAUAUAGGAAAUAAAAAUACAAAUAAAAUUUGUACAUGUGGUACAAGUUUAAAAUAAUAACUAAUGAGUACUAUACUUUUUUAAUUUUAUCUUAGCUUGAAUUUUGGUGUUUUUUUUUUCUCCUUGUAGAAGAAAAAGUGGCAUAUAGCAUUUUUCUUUCGGUAUAGAUAGUGAAAAAUAAGUAUGCACUUGACCAUAUGCAUACGUGUGCAAUAGACUUAAUGAGUUGCAAGUUGAUAAUUGAUCUGUCUUUUGGUAGAUUUUAGUUGCCUUCUUGUACAUCAUUAAAGUAGAAGAUAAAGACGAAAAUUAUAACUUCACCCAUUCAAUUAAAAAUCAAUUUAAUUGAAUUUAAAGAAGAAAAUGGUUGGUUCGGUUUGACUAACAAUAAUUGAUUCGUCGGUUUAUUUUGUUUCAAUUUGUUUUGGUUUGUUGUAACAAUAAAAAUCAUUUUUUUUGGUUAAUUUGGACUAAAAAAAAAAAACCAUGAUUAGAUAAAAACUAUAAAUGUGCAUAUGAAGUUGUAUCGAAUGUGAAAGCUUUUCAUCAAAUUAAUAAUAUAACCAAUACUCAUAUUAUUGAUGUAAAUAUAGAACUUCUAGAUAAGUUCAAUUUGUUUUACUAUUGAUUUUUUAAAUAGGUAACCGAAUUGGUCUAAUUCAAUUUUAUAUUUUAAAACCCAAUAUUAUUAAAAGAAAAAUUGCUAAAAAUUAGUGGAUUAGGGUUAGUUCAUUGAUUCUGUCUACACCCCAAAAAGAAGAGUGUCCACUUCGUAUUGUCAACUUUGUGUGCUUAUAAGUUACAAUUUUGCACCAUGAGAUUCACAUUUGUACUUAUUAUUGCUAAUUUUGUGUGGUCAUAAGUUAUAAUUUUACCCCACUAGAUUCACAUUUGCUAGCAUCAUAAUUGACUUUCUACAUCCAUGCAUUCAUGAAUCAUUACAUUUCAAUACUGUAUUACCAUUUUGGUGCUAAACAAGAAGACUCGUCUUUAAAGUACUCAAGCAAACCCUCACCAAUUUUAAUCAUUUUUCAAUUUAGAUGAAUGGGAGCAACAACACUAGAACAAUGAAGUAGAUGAUGAAAUAAAAUAAAAAACAAAGAUAGUAUACAAACUCUAAUUUUAUUGGUUUGUCAUAGUCUUGACUUAUAUGCACUCUCCUCAAACUUUAAAAUUCUGCUAACUUCUAAUCCUUCAAGCCAAUCUUAAACUCUUACAUUUUGAUUCUUGAUUCCAAAAGACCUUCUUACACUUGCCUCAAUAGAUUCUUUACUUUUGAAUACACUAGUCACAAGUUGUUAACAAUUGAACAAAAUUAAUCUUUCUAAAUCUUAAUUAGUACAAGUUUAAACUUGAGAAAAUACAAGAGGAAAUUAGGAUGUUUUGUCUUAGAUAAGAUUUAUAAGUUAAUCAAGAAUUUUACAUUGAGAACAAAGAGUUAAGAUCAAUUCAGUUAAGUGAGAUUGUAGGAUCUAAUUAGUUUGAGAUCUUAAGCGGUCCUGUUAUAAUCUUAUUAUUUUAUUCCAAAAUUGCCUAAGAGGGAAGUAGUAAUUUAGGACAACAAUUCCCUCCCAAAGUUUAUUGGUUUGAAACUAAUACUUUAUUAUACCAGCAUGUUUGAGUUGAAAACACAAAAAUUGAAGCUAAGGCAAGUACUUUACAAUUCGGAUUGGGUUGCAUCGAGCUUUGGUGGUAACUACUUGGGAGAUGGCUAAAGAAUGCUUGACCGCCAAUGACCAGGUUUCAUCCUCGCGUCCCGAACUUUUAGCCGCAAAACAUUUGGGCUACAACUACGCCAUGUUUGGUUUCUCUCCAUACGGUUCUUACUGGCGUGAAGUGCGCAAGAUAAUCAGCCUAGAGUUACUCUCUAACCGCUGCCUAGAGCUGCUGAAGGACGUCUGUGCUUCAGAAGUGGUGACAUCCAUAAAAGAGCUAUACAAGCUCUAGGCAGAGAAAAAAAAUGAAUCGGGCCUUGUCUCGGUGGAAAUGAAGUAGUGGUUUGGAGAUUUGACUCUGAACGUAAUUCUUAGGAUGGUGGCAGGGAAGCGUUAUUUCAGUGCUUCAGAUGCAAGUGAAAAUAAACAGGCGCAGAGGUGCUGGAGAGUGUUCAGGGAAUUUUUUCAUUUGGUAGGGCUCUUUGCGGUGGCGGACGCUAUUCCUUUUCUUGGAUGGCUCAACUGGGGGAGACAUGAGAAUACCCUAAAGAAGACAACAAUAGAAAUGGACAAUAUUGCUCAAGAAUGGUUAGAGGAGCACCGUUGGAAAUCAUGAUAAUAGUACGCAAGACUUCAUGGAUGUGAUGCUGUUAGUUCUUGAUGGCAAAAAUCUUGGUGAGUACGAAAGCCACAUGCUUGUGUGGACCCGCAUUUUUCACGUGCACCUCCACUCAAUCGGCGAGACUCGUUUUUUUUUGGUGAAGAUGUUGUUUUUGGAAAAGUCGGAGUCGCCACUUAUUUUAUUUUAUUUUAAAGGGAAAAUAAAACAAGAAAUAAAACCCUAAAAAAUGACUCCAUAGUUUUUUGGAAAAGCAUGUCUUUGAAAAACCCGAGUCUAGGUCCGGGGAUCAGGUUACUUAUUGGGAAGGUACCUCCAGGAGAUAGCACCUCUCUAAGCCCUACAAAGGUCCCUACUGACUAUGUUGAAGGAAAUGUGGCAAUCAACUGAUUAAUUGAGGGUACCUAGGUAGGCUAAGGUGAUCUCAAAACUAGCAUGCUAAACAAGAAAAACCAAUCACGCCCAUAAAGGAAAGUUAGGAUGCGUACCUGGACCACUUCUUAAGCGCUAUCAUAAAACAUCAAUGGUUAGUUUAGAUAAUAUAUCACUCAGUAUGUGUUUUAUCAUGAAUGAUCAAACAAUGUAGCAAAUAUCAAGACAUCCCAAGCAUUCUCAAACAUAGGUAUAAAUCAUAAUGACGAUCAUAUUUACAAAAUUUGGAAGGUAGGUGACAGGAGACGUACCUGGAUAGCAUAGAUAACUUGUAACGUGCUUUCACAAGACAUGAGAGGUUAGAUAACAAACAAUAAAAUAAGAAGUCCUAGCAUGUUUGUUAUCUAAUUAGCAUAGAAAAAAAAAAUUAUCAUAGUAUAUGAAACCAUCAAUUAUCACUUAUAUCUUCUGUAUAAUUUCUAAAAAAUAAAUAGACAUGAUUUCCUUAAAUAGCAAAGGGGGCAACAAAGAUGAGUUUUGAAAAUUUUCCUUAUGUAGGGGCUUCACCAAUUCCCCGAUUGAUAUACACAAAUCUAGUUUAGAAUUAUCCCAUUUGUUUGGGACCACAAGCUUGGAUUCAUGUCUUACUCAAAACUGUAAUUUUAUUUGAAAUUUAAGAAAGAUGCAAACAGAUCAAAACAUGGUUGCACAUUAUUUGAGAAAAUGAGAUUUCGAUUCUAAGAACUCUAAAUGAAUUUUUGAAAUGGAUUCCUAAAGGGAAUGAGAUUUUGAUUCUAAGAACUUUAAAUGAAUUUUUGAAAUGGAUUUUUAAAGGGAUUUUUUUUAGAAUAGUGUUAUGUUUUAAAAAUAAAAGAAAUUAAUUUCAAAACAAUAAAACGUAUGAAUCAAAUACCAAGCAAAACAAAAGAGAACAAAAUCACAAAGUAGAAUUUUUGACAACCAAGAAAAUUGAAGUGGUGAGAAUGGAAGCCAAUCUUCACUAUUUUUCGAUGGUCUCCAAAAAGUAAAUUUUACUAGAGACUACCAAAGCAAUAAACUAUUCAAACUUGGAUCAAAUAAGCUAACGAAAUACCCACCAAGAAUUAAUGACGAAAAUUCAAGAAACACAUCUACUAAGAAUAACAAUCAAGAAUUAGCAUGAGAUCAAUUAAACACACAAACGCAUCUAGAUUAACUAAAAUGAACCAAAUUAAAUCAAAGCAAACAAUAAUUUUCAAACAUAGAAUUAACUUUAUUAAUGAACUAAUAUUAUAUAAAAUACCUAAAUCGAAUAGAUGUGCAAAACUAAAUCAAAGUAAACUAAAGGCAUGAAUUCUCAAAAAUAGAAUUGAUUUUAUUAAUGACCUAAAAUUAUACAAACUCCUAAAAUAAUUAAAAUGAAUCAAUUUAAACGAAAGGAAACUAAAACAAAAUAUGAAUUCAGGGAAUCUAAUUUCGAAAUAAACUUACAUUAUUAAAAUGAAAUCUAGGCUUAAAAACUAUUAAACACUAAUUAAAGCCAAUCUAAACUUAAAUUCUUAACACACAUGAUCAAUUAUUUUAACAAACUAACAUUUUACCUUAACCACAAAUUAAAUUAAAAAACUACUUGAGACUAAAUUUCUAACCUAUAAAAUUAAACUCAUAAUCAAAUGGAUAAGUUGAUGACACAGACAAAUAAAUAUGAAUAAAAUAAAAUAUGAAUGAAAUGAAAUACGAACACAAGGAAUUAAAUAAUUUUUUCUUUUUUUUAAUAAACUUAUGUUAGUAAAAUAAAUUUGAGCUUAACAAACAUUUUUAUCACUAAUUAAGGCAAGUUUAAAAUAUAAUACUUAACACAUAAAAAAUCAAUCAUUUCAACAAACUAUAAUUUUAACUAAACUUAAAGUCAAUUCAAACAACCUUCAAUAGAUUUUUUUAUUUUUAUUUUAAACUGAAUUUUUAACCCAUAGAUUCAAUCUCAUUGAUAAAUAAAUAAAUAAAUAAGUUACAAAGCAUUAGCUUAGUAGCAAAUAAAUAAAUAAACAACUAAUAAUUAAAUGAAUCACAACUAAACUAAAUAAAGAUCAAACUAUAUUAUUUUUUUUAUUUUUCAAAAGUAGAAUUACAUGAAUUUGUAUUUUUUGAAUUUAAUAUAAUAUACCAAACUAAACUUAAACACAAUUCUCAUUCUGCCAUAUUAAAACAAAAAAUGCAUGGAGUUAGUAAAUAAAGUCAAAUGACACAAUAUAAUAAUAAUUCCACUAAAAAACCAAUCAAACUAAUUAAAAUUCUAAAAAAUAUCAACUAAAACAAGAUCAAUCAAAAUUAGCGUGUAUAUAUAUAUAUAUAUAUAUAUAUAUAUAUAUAUAUAUAUAUAUAUAUAUAUAUAUAUCUUUAUUUUUAGUUAUUUAUUUAUUAAAACACGAAUACAUCAACACGAAACGAAAUAAACUAACCAACUUACAUUCUAAAACUAAAAGGAUAAAUCAUGAAUUAAAAUUAACAACCUUUGGAUAUGAAAAGAGUGGCAUGGAAUCAAUUGAAAUAAUAAACUAAAAUUUAAUAACAUCUAAACUAAAAGAUAAAUUAAAACUAAAUUAAAUGAAAUUAUGAACUUCCUAAUUGAGAAAAAAAAUAAUAAUAGUAAUAAAUCUAAUCAAAAUUCUAAAUUUUAAACCAUCAUCAUGAAUUGCCCAAACUCUUAAAAAAUCCUAACCUUUCCAUUAUCAACAAAAAUUGCCUAAACCAAUAUUUAAAAAAUCUAAUUUGUCAAACUAAGAAUAAUAAAUUGUAACUACAUUAAACAAAAAUCAUAAUCUUCAAGCUAGAAUAAUGAAUCAAUAAUAAUUAAUUUAUUUAGAUAAGAAAAAUUAAAAAAAUAAAUUAAAGAUUAACAUCUAAGCUAAACAUGAAUUUACAAUAAAAAUUUAAAAUACAAAGAUUGAAUGGGAAUAAUUUUAAAACUAAUAAAUUGUCAUCAGGAAAUAUAUUGAUAUUAGAAAUAAUUAAACUAUAUAGAUAAAACUCUAAAACGAUUAUGCAUUGAAUUGAAUAUUUCUUGAAUCAAAAUUGAAAUAGGAAGGAUAAAUUCACAUUUUCCGAAACGUGUAGGUCACUUUCCACUAGUAGGAUUUCUAUUUUUUAUUUUAUUUUAAAAGAAUCAUUGCCAAGGAUGCAUGGUGUGGUGGCUGCCCAUGCACUGUAGCUGAAGACUUCUUCUUGGUGGUCUUUGAAACCUAGGAGCAUGGCUGAAUGUUUCCUUUCUUCCAAUAGUGCAACUGCUCCGGAAGUCCUCUCAACGGUGCGGCUGAUUCAGAAAUCGUCAUCUCAAUGGUGCGGCUGUUUCGGAAAUCUUCCUCUCAAUGGUGCGGCUACACCCUCUCACAUUCCAGAAAAUAAUCUUACUCCUCCCACCUGGAUCCCCUUUAGUGCGGCUGUUGAUCUCCUUCCCGUUUGGUGUCACCCUCUCUUCUGAUGCAUGCUGAAAGCGUCCCAAGAAUGGUGCAGCUGGUCGUUCUUGCUUCUCCAAAGGCGUCAGACCCUCUUAUGCGUGCUGAAAGCGUCCUAAGUAUGGUGCGGCUGGUCGUUCACCCCUCUCCAAAAAAAACUCUCCCCCCUCUCACUUUCUAACCUUCCUCUCCAGUACUCUGCCAACAUGGGAAGACAACUCACCAGCCCGGAGAGCCUCAAUCAUCCACGUCAGUCUAGCAUCAUCAGGACUCUCCUUCCUGAACAUAGUCUUCAUUCCGUCCAAAUACCCAUUGAACAUUUCCUUUUUCCAUGCCAAAAGAACUUUGGUAAUUUUCUUUCUUCAUUCAUUUCCUUCCAUUAGAAGCACAAUCAACACAUGCAUGGGUGCAUACUUGCUUUCCUUCUUAGUUCAUUUUCUUCCAUACGUCCUGUCCUCUUCCAACCACCUUGAAUCCAUCCUUUAACCCGCUGAAUAUUUCCUUUCCAUAAUCACACAUGAAAAUUCCUCUUUUUAAUUUUUUUUUUUGACUGAAUAUCCUCUAUUUCCUGAAAGACUCACACAUGAAUAUCCUUGCCAAUACACGUUUUCAACCUUCCUUUUUCUCUCCAGUGAUGAUUCCUUUGGUGAGUUUCUCUACAAAAAUAUAAAGAAAAUUAGACUUAAUGAAUGAAUCCCAAGGUGUUUUAGAAAAUUAUAAAAUAAAUUAACAAAAUAAUUAAGUAAAUAAUGAUAAUAAUAAUAAUAAUAAUAAUAAUAAUAAUAGUAAAGUGUCAUGCAAUCUAUGCAACCAUGCAAUCAUGUGAGCAACUCAAGUCAUGCAAAGAAUGUCUAAUGGGCCUCGGGUGUAUCUAAUGGACCUAAAGGGUCUAAGUGGACCAAUGAUGGUGCCUAAUGGGCCUAAGUGGGCCUAGGGUGGUGCCUAAUGGACCUAAAGGGUCUAAGUGGGCUUAGGGUGGUGCCCAAGUGUAUCUAAGUGAACCUAAAGUGCUUAAGUGGAUCUAAGUGAACCUAAAGUGUUUAAGUGGAUCUAAGUGAACCUAAAGUGCCUAAAUGGGCCUAAGUCUAAAUUAGGGCUACUAAGAGUCACAAUAGGGUUAAAUGAAUCCCUCUACCAAAGUCUCCGAGGUGGCUCAAAAAAGGUAAGUAGUAUGAGUAGCUAUGGGCCACUAAGGAACUACUGUGGAGCACUGGAAGUGAACUUAAAGACAUGUGCUAAAGGAACAAAAUUGAGGGUCUACAACCUGGUAUGAGUAUUAAUGGAACACCCACGUAACAUUGAUAAAGACAAAUUGCAAGGAUAAGGCAAUGAUCGAACAAAUAACCUAUGAUUAAACAAGAUCAUUCAAAAUCAAUUUUGUAUAUUUUUGUAACCGUUAUUUGAUGUGUUGACUUGAACAAUUCUGUAACUGUUGUAUAGUUGUAGGCAAAUUGAUGUACAUUGCCGCAAAUAGUUUUUCUUAGCUAUGCAUAUAAGUAAACUCUUAUUACAUCAAUAAAAGUGUGAAAAUUUUCAUUGAAAACAACAAUGUUAUUUCUUCUAUACUAUUUAUAUUUGCAUAGGGCUAGCUUCUUUUCCAUAGUUUUUCUUUUGUUUAUAUGUUUUAAUUGAUGCAUAUUCACUUUCUUAUUCUCUUAAUUAAAUUGCAAUAAUUAAAACUCUAAUUUAAAUAAAUUUUAAAAUUUAUUUUUAACUAAAAACAACAAUAUACAUAUACAAAUAUAUACUGCUUAAGUAAUUAAUUUUUUUAAAAAAUAUCCUUUGAGAACAUCUCAGACAAACUAAGACAUGCUUCUAGGGAAAUCUAAAUAUAAUGUUUUUAAAAGCUACCUUGUAAUUUUAUUUUCGAGCAUGUUGCAUUAUAUAUACUUUCCUUGAAUUGAUUUUCCAAAUUUUAUUUUUGUCAACAAUAAGGGUUAUCUACGUUUUGGAAGAUAUCUUUAAUUUCCCCUCCAAAGAAUAAGUGAUCUUGAAACUUAUAAGUUAAUUAUGUUCACUUGAUCGAAUAAGAGAUUUGAACAAUCUUGUAAAAAGAUGUUAAGCAGAUGGUUGAUUUCGAAAUUAUCCUUUAAACUAUAAAGGGAAAUAGAAAAAAAUACUAUUAUUUUGGUACAAGACCAUAUUGUUUAGUAGUGUCUCUAGGGAGUUCCAUUAGAUGCUAUCAAACAAUUAAUUUGGUGUCUCACUAACGUAAUUUUGAGUUGUUGAAUUUUGGGUUUUGCAAACUCUAAUUGCUGGAGGUAGUGACACAACUGUUGUCUCUCUAACCUGGGUAUUCUCUCUUUUACUCAACAACCGCGACACCUAAAAAAAAGCUAAAAAAAAAAAAUAUUCAAGUUGGCAAGGAAAGAUUAGUGAAUGAACAAGAUAUAAGUAAGUUGGUCUAUCUUCAAGCCAUUCUUAAAGAAAUUGAGAAAAUAAAGGCUAAUCUUAAAAGAUAAAAACACCCAAGAGGGGGGUGAAUUGAGUUUUUAAAAAUUAUUUUUAAACACAACAAAUUUAAGCAUAAGAGAAUCAAAUAUAAAAAGAUAAGGUUAGAGAAAUCAAACUCAGAUUUUAUAAUGGUUCAACACUUCCUUACCUACAUCCACUCUCCUCAAGCUCUUAACCGAGUGAGGGUUCCACUAACAUGAAGUUUCAACCAAACUUCUAAUUACAUUUACACUUAGAUUCCGGCUCCAAUGGGCUCUUACACAAUCUCUUCAAGUUUCAACUCACUUAAAGACUUUAACACUAAGUUAACAAGUAUGAAUCUCUCAACUUAGCUCAACAAUGACUCAAAUACAACCCAAAGCUAGGAUGAAUCACAAAGGUGCACUAAAGGAUAUGUAAAUGGAGAUUUAAUGCACCAAGAAAAGAAAUGAGAGCUUUUAAGGCAAGAACAAAUAGGUAAGCAAAUAAAUGCAUGUGUUCUCUUACUCAUAAAUGAAGUGGAACUCUUUAUUUAUAGGUUUUUAACAUUAUAAGCCAAAAAACCAAAAAAACAGUCUCAAUCGGUUGAGCUGAGGGUCAAUCGGUUCACUAGCCAUUGCAGCAUUUAAUGCUUGUCAGGUGACAGUUACCCUCGACCGGGAAGACAAAUCCCUCGACUGGGAAGGAAAGGCUACUGAAAAAGAGAGAGUCUUUUUUGCACCUCUCGGUCGGACCUCAACAGGAAAGGGGGAGCCGGUCGACCGGUACCCUAGUCAAUUGAGCCUGUUUGGACAUAGCCUUGAUCGGUUCACAAUUUUUUACCCGAAAACCUAUCUUUUUCUAGUAUUUUUGCUUCAAACACAUAGGUAAGGUCUUCAGAUAAAAUAUAUGCCAAUUUUGAAACGUUUAGCUUAAGGUUCAUUUGAUAGAUCUCGGAUUUUGGUGAAAAUGUAACUUUAAAGCAUAAAUCGAGUUUUUCAAAGAUGCAUGAAAUAAUAUGUAAAUCCUAAGUGUAUCAAUGCAUUCAUCUUACAUAUGUUUCCUAUCAUUAAAGGUCUUUCCAAAAGUCUUGAUCUUGCAUCCAUUAGGUCAUUUGAUGAAUUUCCAAAUUAACACCUGAAAUUUUUUAUAAUUUAAACCAAUUAGUAACUUAACUAUGAUUUGUUAUCAUCAAAACAUGAUUAGGAGAACCCUUGGGCUAACAGAGACAUUACGGUUAUAUCCACCAAGACCACUUGGAGGACUAUGCCAAUUUAUUGAGGAUUGCACCUUGGGUGGAUACCAUGUCUUUAAAGACACUUGUUUAAUAAUGAACCUUUCGAAGAUCCAAAAUAUCCAAGAAUCUAGUUAGAUUCGAUAGAAUUCUAACCAGAGAGGUUUCUCAUCAACCAUAAGAAUGUUGAUCCUUAGGGAAAACAUUUUGAAUUUAUACCAUUUGGAGCUGGUCAAAGAGCAUGUCUAGGAAUAGCUUUUGGUCUUCAAAUAUUAUAUUUAGCAUUAGCUAGUUUCUUACAUGCAUUUGACUUUUCAACUCCAUCAAAUGAACAUGUUGAUAUGCGAGAGAGCUUUGGACUUACAAAUAUGAAAUCUAUCCCACUCGAAGUUUUCAUUUCUCAAAUCUACCCCACUUGAAAUCCUCAUUUCUCUACACUUAUCUUCUUGUAGUCUUUACAACUAAAACAUUGAAAUGAAGAGGUCAAAGUUGACCCAGCUAGUCUUGGUUUAAAGACAUAUAGAGUUAGGUUCAAUCAAUCUAUGAUAAGAUUUGAGAUUUGUAUUAAAAGUAGGUUGGACUAAGAAUGAUGUACAAUAAACUAAAGUACUAUCCAUGCAAAUAAAGUAUAACAUUAUAUAUUAUUUGGUUAGCAUUCUGAAAUGUAACAUCAUAAUUAUUUCUUUGUUUUGUCUAAUUUAUCGCCAUUUCACCCCCUCAUCUUCAUCAAAACAAAUAAUAUAUAGUCUUUCUAUUUUUAAAAAUCAAAUUCGAUUCCCAAUUAUAUAAGAAUUUUACUAUUACUUUAUAAUAAACUUUACUUUAGUCUUAAUAACUUUGACUUGUAAAUAUGUUCUCCAUCCUUAAUUAAAUAUACAGAUAAUUUCAUUCAUUUUUUCUAAGAUUGGAGUUAAAUUUACCCAUCCAUACUUAACUUGAAAUUUUCUUAAAUAUCUGUUUUUUUUUCAUUUUUUUUACACGUAUAUCUUUUAAUUUAAAAUAAAAAAUAUUUAAUAAAAUUUCAAAAUAAUAGUUGUCAGACAUAUUUAUGUGACAUUUUCGAAGAGGUGAAUGAAACUAAACUUUUCUUUAAAUAUAAAAUCAUAAAAAUUUAAUAUAUGCAAGCAUGAUCCGGUCUAAAUAUGAUAUAUAAUUUGUGUCAUUUCAAAAAAUCACAGAAGAUCCUUUUGGCAAAGUGGCCCCCCAUUUGAGUUGUAUUCCGUAAUUGGUCACCACAUGUUAUAUCAUUUCAAAGAUUAUGGAGGAUCAUGUUGCCAAUCAUUAUCAGAAGAAGUACAGCUUCCUCUAUAAAACUAAUCAAUACGAUAUUUAGCACAUGCAAACAAAUUUGGAAGGAUCUGAAAGUCAAGUCUACGGGCCACCCCUUUACGACUUGUUCGAAAAAGCACAAAUCAAUGGUGGUGCCACUUGCCAGCAGUCUGUUUCAAUAUCUAAAUGUUACCUCGGUAAGAUUGCUUGACAUACUUUUUGUCUCCUACUAUCUCAUGGAGAUCCAGAGUUGGUAAGAUAAGAAUAGCAUCCGAAGCUGCUGGUGCAUGGCCAAUAAUCGGUCACCUCCUCUUAGGUGGGUCACAACUUCCUGGGAUUUUUUAUAAAAUUACGGUAGAUUUAAAAUUAAUUUUUUUAAAAUGCAGCAUAUUAAUGCUUGACAGCUGACAGUUACCCUCGAUCGGAAAGACAAAUCCCUCGACUGGGAAGGAAAGGCUACUGAAAAAGAGAGAGUGUUUUUUGCACCUCUCGGUCGGACAUCAACAGGGAAGGGGGAACCGGUCGAUCGGUACCCUAGUCAGUUGAGCCUGUUUGGACAGAACCUUGACCGGUUCACAAUUUUUUACCCGAAAACCUUUUUUUUUUUUGGUCUUUUUGCUUCAAACACUUAGACAAUGUCUUCAGAUAAAAUUAUAUACCAAUUUUGAAACGUUUUGCCUAAGGUUCAUUUCAUAGAUCUCGGAUUUUGAUGAAAAUGUAACUUUAAAGCAUAAAUCGAGUUUUUCAAAGAUGCAUGAAAUAAUAUGUAAAUCCUAAGUGCAUCAAUGCAUUUAUCUUACAUAUGUUUCCUAUCAUUAAAGGUCUUUCCAAAAGUCUUGAUCUUGCAUCCAUUAGGUCAUUUGAUGAAUUUCCAAAUUAACACCUGAAAUUUUUUAUAAUUUAAACCAAUUAGUAACUUAACUAUGGUUUGUUAUCAUCAAAACAUGAUUAGGAGAACCCUUGGGCUAACAGAGACAUUACGGUUAUAUCCACCAGGACCACUUGGAGGACUAUGCCAAUUUAUUGAGGAUUGCACCUUGGGUGGAUACCAUGUCUCUAAAGGCACCCGUUUAAUAAUGAACCUUUCGAAGAUCCAAAAGGAUCCAAGAAUCUAGUUAGAUUCGAUAGAAUUCCAACCAGAGAGGUUUCUCAUCAACCAUAAGAAUGUUGAUCCUUAGGGAAAACAUUUUGAAUUUAUACCAUUUGGAGCUGGUCAAAGAGCAUGUCCAGGAAUAGCUUUUGCUCUUCAAAUAUUAUAUUUAACAUUAGCUAGUUUCUUACAUGCAUUUGACUUUUCAACUCCAUCAAAUGAACAGGUUGAUAUGCGAGAGAGCCUUGAACUUAUAAAUAUGAAAUCUAUCCCACUUGAAGUUUUCAUUUCUCAAAUCUACCCCACUUGAAAUCCUCAUUUCUCUACACUUAUCUUCUUGUAGUCUUUACAACUAAAGCAUUGAAAUGAAGAGGUCAAAGUUGACCUAGCUAAUCUUGGUUUAAAGACAUAUGGAGUUAGGUUCAAUCAAUCUAUAAUAAGAUUUGGGAUUUGUAUUAAAAGUAGGUUGGACUAAGAAUGAUGUACAAUAAACUAAAGUACUAUCCAUGCAAAUAAAGUAUAACAUUAUAUAUUAUUUGGUUAGCCUUUUGGAAUGUAACAUCAUAAUUAUUUCUUUGUUUUGUCUAAUUUAUCGCCAUUUUUUCCCUUUCUCUUAUUCCCUCAUCUUCAUCAAAACAAAUAAUAUGUAGUUUUUCUAUUUUUAAAAAUCAAAUUCGAUUCCCAAUUAUAUAAGAAUUUUACUAUUACUUUAUAAUAAACUUUACUUUAGUCUUAAUAACUUUGACCUGUAAAUAUGUUCUCCAUCCUUAAUUAAAUAUACGGAUAAUUUCAUUCAUUUUUUCUAAGAUUGAAGUUAAAUUUACCCAUCCAUACUUAACUUGAAAUUUUCUUAAAUAUCUAUUUUUUUUCCUUUUUUUUACACAUAUAUCUUUUAAUUUAAAAUAAAAAAUAUUUAAUAAAAUUUCAAAAUAAUAGUUGUCAGAUAUAUUUAUGUGAAAUUUUCGAUGAGGUGGAUGAAACUAAACUUUUCUUUAAAUAUAAAAUCAUAAAAAUUUAAUAUAUGCAAGCAUGAUCCGGUCUAAAUAUGAUAUAUAAUUUGUGUCAUUUCAAAAAAUCAUAGAAGAUCCUUUUGGCAAAGUGGCCCCACCUUUGAGUUGUAUUCUGUAAUUGGUCACCACAUAUUAUAUAAUUUCAACGAUUAUGGAGGAUCAUGUUGCCAAUCAUUAUCAGAAGAAGUGCAGCUUCCUCUAUAAAACUAAUCAUAUUUAGCACACGCAAACAAAUUUGGAAGGAUCUGAAAGUCAAGUCUACGGGCCACCCCUUUACGGCUUGUUCGAAAAAGCACAAAUCGAUGGUGGUGCCACUUGCCAGCAGUCUGUUUCAAUAUCUAAAUGUUACCUCGGUGAGACUGCUUGACAUACUUUUUGUCUCCUACUAUCUCAUGGAGAUCCAGAGCUGGUAAGAUAAGAAUAGCAUCCGAAGCUGCUGGUGCAUGGCCAAUAACCGGUCACCUCCUCUUAGGUGGGUCACAACUUCCUGGGAUUUUUUAUAAAAUUACGGUAGAUUUAAAUUUAAUUUUUUUAAAAUGCAGCAUAUUAAAAAAUAUCUUUGAAUAAUAAUAAUAAAAUGACAAAUAAUAAAAAGGAAAGAAAGUUGUCUUGUGGCUAUAAGAAAGAAUAAUAUAAAAGAGAGAGAAGAGGAGAGGCGGAUAGAGAGAAGAGUAGCAGGAAAAAAAAAAAAGAGAACAGGGAGGUGCAUGCUGCAAAUCUUUGGGUGUUCGUAUGACGAGCAAAACGAGUUAUGUUUUGCGUGAAAAUUAAGGUGAAAAUUUUCUUUGACAUGAGGAACAUUCUUUCAAAGUUUGAUUUUAAUUUCAAUGAUUGGAUUUUUUGAUUUGUGGUGAGGUAGUUUAAUCCUAUAACUUUUGUUUAAUAUUUUUUCUUAAAAAAAUAUUAUGGAUUUUAUUACUGGGAGAUAAAUAUGUGUUAUUUGUGUUUUCUUUAUGUUAUUUGAAAUAUGAUUAUUGUUAGGGUGGAUUAUUAUGAUUUUUUUUUUUUUUUAUGUUUGCAAUGAUUUAAUUGAAGAAAAAUUAUUGUGUUGAUUGUUGGAAAUUAUUCAAUAUAUUAAGAAUAAAUAAAAUUUAUAUGAUUAUGGUUUAGACUAUGUUUUGAUGAUAUAUAAAUUAUUGUGAUUUUUUUUGUGGUUAUUUAAUUGAAGAAAAAUUGUUGUGAUGUAAUUGGAAUUAUUGAUUAUGUUUGGAGUAAAUAAAAAUUAUGUCCUAUAAAAUUAUGGAUGAUAACAUGUAAGUUUAUUAUAUUUCAUAUAUGGUUAUAUGAAAAAAAAUGAUGAAAGAUUUUAUGAAAUGGAAAAAGGAAAAAAAAAGAAAAAAAAAAUGAUGAUGAAAAGUAAAAGCCCGUAAAAGACGAAUUAAGAAAGAAAUGAGAUUUCUAGUAUGAAAACUACAAAAAUUUAUCUUAUGAAAACUCUAAAUGGGGAGUGUAUUUGGUACAGAUGCAUAUCAUUAAGUGAAAACCCAAAAACAAUAGUUUGUUACUUUACUGAAUGUAAACAUUUGCAUCAUGUUUUUAUUUGGAAGAAUGACAUGUAUUAAUUACUUGAAUGACGUCAAUGGUAUGUUUGGAUAUAUUAUUAGAGAUUGAAAUGAUUUAUUUAUUUUGUAAAUUUAGAAUUGUUUGAUAUGUUAUUUAUAUAAUUGAAUAAGAAAUGUGAUAAUUUUGAUUAGUUUAAUUUUAUAUGGUUGAUUUUUUAUUUAAUGACUAUAAUGCAUUGUUUUGAAAAUUGGAUCGGACCAACCGGUUCAAUCGCCAACUGGUGAUCUUUCCGGUUCCAUCCUCUCCUUUAAACCGCUAGAUGGUUGAACCGACCACAAACCACUAUUGGCAGUUGGACCGAUGAACCGCUUGGACCAGGUGGUUUUUCAUGAACUGCAUGGCUCAAUUCCAGCCCAGUCUUCCCCCCAUUUUUUCUUUCAUCCAAAUAGUCCAACCUUCCCCUCCUCUUUUUCAUAGGGUCCAAGUGAAAGCCCAAUAAGCCCAGCCUUACAUCUUAAUGGUCUUUAGGCAAAACCUAAACCCAUUUAAACCCCUCAAUGGGUUGUACCUUUGAACCCAUUAGUUACACAAAUAGCUUGAAUGAACUGUGUUUUACGCGCAUAUUCACAUCCACAUCCAUGUGGGAUUGCUGCUAUUUUAAGUCUAAAGAAAAAGCAACGCCACUUAGCUACAACACAAUUUGAUGCAAGUCUAGAAAAUAAAAAAAUCAGCAUGUGUUUCAAAAAAGAUUAAUAAUAUUAAAUAAAAUAAUAUAAUAUUUUCUGAAAUUAUAAAAUUAGUUAAAGUUAAAUAAUUAAAUUUUUACAUAUUCCAUUUAAUAAAGUUCAAAAUAUUAAUAUAUUUAUAUUUAUAUUUUGAUAAUAUCAAAGAUAAAAAAUAAAUAUUUUUAAUUUUUUAAUUUAUAUAAUAUUAUAUUUUGACAUAUAAUUGUUUUCUAUUGACUUAAAUUUUUUAAUUCAUUUGGGUGUAAAACACCUUACAAAACAAUGUGAAAAUGUUCACCCCUUUAUUUUUAUAAAAUUUUUAGAUACAAAUAUAGUUUAUAAGGAACCAUAAGAAAAUCAAGAAGUGUUCCAAAAAGCCUUAACAAAUAAAAGAAAAAUAAUAAUAAUAAUUUUUAAUUUAUAUUACCUUUUUGACAUGUACUAAUUUGAGUUAUAUGAAUUUUUGUAACUUAAAUUAUAUUUUGUUAUUUUGUAAAAUAUUUUUGGAAAUAUUUUUUACUUAGAUUUAUGUAGAUAUUUGGGUUAAUUUGGGAUUAAAUAUUGAUCUAUUCACUGUCAAAUUGGAUAGGAAUAAACUUUAAGGUCAACCCUUUGACCUGAUAUCACUAGUCGGAUUCUGAGUUGCCUUGGGUGUGACUAUAAUGGAUUUUCUUCUCCAAUGCCUAAACCCUGUCAUGGUUGGAGCGUUUGCAAUACUCGUCCUCUCAUACCACCUGUUAUUAUGGAGGUCUGGAGCUGGUAAGAGCAGAAUGGCACCUGAAGCUUCUGGUGCAUGGCCCAUAAUAGGCCACCUGCACCUGUUAGGUGGAUCUAAGAAUUUGCCUCACUUACUUUUUGGAACCAUGGCCGACAAGUAUGGACCAGUAUUCAGCAUCCGGCUGGGAUUAAAAAGAGCUGUGGUUGUGAGUAGUUGGGAAAUGGCCAAAGAAUGCUUCACCACCCAUGACCUGGCUCUGGCCUCCCGUCCUGAGCUUGUGGCCGCCAAAUAUUUGGGAUAUAACUAUGCCAUGUUUGGUUUAUCUCCUCACGGUGCAUACUGGCGUGAAGUGCGUAAGAUAGCCACUCUAGAGCUACUCUCGAACCGCCGGCUAGAGUUGCUGAAGAAUGUCCGAAUCUCAGAGGUGGAGACAUGCAUGAAGGAACUAUACGAGCUUUGGGCAAAGAAGAAAAGCGAAGCAGGCGUUGUUUUGGUGGACAUGAAGCAAUGGUUUGGGCACUUGUCUCUGAACGUGAUUCUUAAGAUGGUUGUUGGAAAACGAUAUUUCGGUUAUGCAGCCGAAAGUAAAGAGAAAGAGGCCCAGCAGUUCCAGAAGGCGAUUAGGGAAUUCUUUCGUUUGAUGGGACUCUUUGUGGUGUCGGAUGCCAUUCCUUUUCUUGGAUGGCUUGACGUGGGUGGACAUGUGAAAGCCAUGAAGAAGACUGCAAAAGAAUUGGACGGUAUUACUCAGGAAUGGUUAGAGGAACACCGACGGCGAAAAGAUUCGGGUGAAGCUGAUGGUGACCAGGACUUCAUGGACGUGAUGCUGUCCAUUCUGGGUGGUAGAGACACUACUGAUUAUGAUGCUGAUACCAUCAACAAAGCUACAUCCCUGGUAUGCACAUUAUUCCUUUAGCAUCUUUAUAUGGUAGUAAAAAAUGAGACAUAAUUUCAUGCUUUAUCAUCUUUAGUCCAGACUCAAGAGUACUUGGGCCUGGGUUGGAAGAACUUCUUAUUUUUGCUUAGUUUCAAGUUGAAACUAAUCAAAAGCAGCGAUUUUUAAAAGGUAAUUAUAAUAGUGGUGUUAUUAAAGGUCAAACAUAAAUAACUUUUUGCAUAAAUCAAAAUAGAGUUUAUAUAUAUAUAUAUAUAUAAAAUAUUUUUCUGAUCUUCAUAUUAAUUUUUCUAAGUCAUAACUUUUUUGAACAAAAUUAGUCAAACCAUAGAACUCUUGAACUUACAGAAAAGGGCUUUCGAUUUCUUAGAAAUAGAUACAUGAAGAGUUUUGUUAUAUGUUUGUUUUUGUCAAAAGAGUAACAUGAGCAGCUUAGACAAGCAAUUAGAAUGAAAUACAACUGGGCUGAGAAGCUGAGUAGAACUAGAAUUAUGUACAACCUCUUGCUAGGAUAAUUGGGUUGGACUUGUAAUGAUAGAGUUCUCCGUUGGAGUUAGGUGGCCCAAAAAGAUUGUGCUGUUUGAAUAGCUGGUCCUCUAAUUUAGGAAGAGGCAGCCGAAUUUGCAACGCUGGGUGGCUGGGCCCAUAGAAAAUAUUCUUGUCAGAAGAUUGUGAAAGUAUGUUCCUUAGUCCGCAAGGUUUGAGGCCUCUUUGAGUGGGCUUCUAGAGUCGGUUAGACAAUUGGGCCUUUCAAAGGAUUUCCUAAAUUUACAAUUUUUUUAGCCCAACAUGAAUUUUUAUAAAAUGCUAUAUUUAUACGUGAGUUUCAUAUUCAAGCUAAACAUACCCAUUUUGAUUGGAAAAAAAGGGAAAGAACAUGGGGCCUUUUUUCCACCCUUAAUCUUAUCACUACUUUUAAUUUUAUUUUAUUAGUUAAUGGUUUGUAUUUCACAGGUUAUGAUUGGAGGAGGCGCUGACACUACAUCUGGUACUUUAACAUGGGCAGUCUCACUUUUAUUGAACAAUCCACACAUAUUAAGAAAAGCUCAAGAAGAAUUGGAUGCUCAUGUUGGUAAAGAAAGACUAGUAAAUGAAAUGGAUAUAAGCAAGUUGGUUUACCUUCAAGCAAUUGUUAAAGAGACAUUGAGGUUAAAUCCAAUAGCCCCACUUUCAGGACCGCGUCAAUUCAUCCAAGAUUCUAUUUUAGGUGGUUACCAUAUCUCAAAAGGCACUCGUCUUAUAUUGAACCUUACCAAGAUUCAAAGAGACCCGAGAGUAUGGUUGAACCCAAUGGAGUUCCAACCAGAUAGAUUCCUCACCACCCACAAAGAUGUUGAUGUUAGAGGUAAACAUUUUGAGUUGACACCAUUUGGUGGUGGAAGAAGAAUUUGCCCUGGAAUAGUUUUUGCCCUUCAAGUGCUACACUUAACAUUAGCCAACUUCCUGCAUAGAUUUCAACUUUCAACUCCAUCAGAUGCACCGGUUGAUAUGAGCGAGGGUUUUGGAUUAACAAACAUCAAAUCCACUCCACUUGAAGUUCUUAUCUCCCCACGCUUAGCUUCUUAUGAUCUUUAUGAGUAGAAUUUGAGGUCGCUAAGAGACUUAUUUCAAAAAACCUAGUACUAUGAAAUGUGAAAUAAAAAUAAAUUUCAUAGCAUAAGUUUAGUAUUAUUUUAAAAUAGUUACUAAUGUCUGUCCUUUAAUAUUGUCUUAGCUUGAAUUUAAUGAAAAAUAUUUUCGACACUUAUUUUGUGUGGACAAGUAAUGACCCAAUUUCUUGUUAUGUUUCUUCAUUCUUCCAUGAAAGAGAAUUUAGAAGAAAAAGUGGCAUAUAGCAUUACAAUUGAAAAAUUAAUAAGCAUGUACUCCAUAUGCAUAGUAGACUUAAUGAGUUUCCAAGUUGAUUAAUUGGUAUCUCCUUUUGAUAGAUUUCAGCCACCUUUUUGUACAUGAUUAAAGUAGUAAUGGAGACUAAAAUUACAACUCCCAUUUCAUUGUAAAAAGUUGGGAUGUGCAAGGUGGGUCAGUUCAAUUUUGGGCAUUAAAAUCAAAUCGAAUUGAACCCAAAAGAGGAAAAUGAUUAGUUUGACUUGAUUAACAAUAAUCUAAGUUGGUUUAUUUUGCUUCUAUUUAUAACAUCAAUUUUUUUUUUUAAUUUGAACGAAAAUAAUAUUAUUGAAGCAAGUCAUCUUUGGACGGUUGAAAUGAUAUUAUUACAACUAAUUUCAAAUCAUAUUAUUAUAACUUAAUGAUGUGAAUAGGUAUUAUUGUAACCCAUGUCAAUCAUAUCAAAUAGUCCAAGUCAUAGAUAAAAGUUAUAAAGGUGUGAUUGGGAGUUCCAUCCAAUGUGAAAAAUGUAUACCCAAUUAAUGAUGUAACCAAUUGUUAUACUGUAUAUUAUUACUGUGUGUAUAACUUUCAAUUCAAUUCAGUUUGGUUCAUUAAUUUUUUUAAUAGGUAAUUGAAUUGGUAUAACUUGGUUUUAUAUUUAAAAAACCAAAUUUAUUAAAAAAUAAAAUCUUAAAAAAUUAAUAGAUUUGGGUCAAUUUCAUUGAUUUUGCCAAUUGUACACCCUAAAAGAAGGGAUGUCCACUUAUCAUCCAUAAACUUUGUGUACUCCUAAGUUACAAUUUUGCCCCAUGUGAUUCACAUUUGUACUUAUUAUACUCAAUUUUCCGUACAAAUGAUUUAUUAUUUUGCAGAAUUUUACUCCAUGAGAUUCACAUUUGUACUUAUUAUUACCAACUUUGUCUGCUCUUAAGUUACAAUUUCUCCUAAUUAGAUUCACAUGCGUUACUGCCAUAAUUGACUUUCCACAUUUAUGCAUGAAUUAUUAUGUCAAUAGAUGCAUUAUCAUUUUGUCAAGUUAAUCUGACUUAGGUUAAUCACCAAAGGCAAGGUGAAUUAAUUGACUCAAUUUUAAUAAAUUUUAAUUUAACUAAGUGCAAGUAAUAAUAAUAAAACAGUUAAAAAAUACAUAAUUAAAUAACUAAAAAGAAGAGAUAACAGGUACAAACUCCGAUUUAUAUUUUGCUCAAUCCCAUACUCUCCUCAAGCUCUCAAAUGCAAAUUGAGGGUUCCACUAGCUUUUAAGACUUCAAUCAAAUCUUAAUCCUUUACACUUGGAUUCUCAAUUUCAAUGAUCUUUUUACACUUUAAUUCAAGAAAUUCCUCACUCUUGAACAUACUCAAAGGUAACACUUGAACAACAUUGAUCUCACAAAAUUUUAUUUACAAAUAAUAUAAAUGAAAACUUAAAUGGUUUUUCUUGGCUAGGAUUUCUAAGUUAAUAAGGAUUUUUGCAUUAAAAAGAAAUAGUUAAAAUCAAUUGGGUUUUGUAAGAUUUUGAUAUAUAUCUUAGUUUGCGAGUUUUUUGGGAUUCUAUUAUAAUCUUAUUGUUUUAUCCUAAAAUUGUCAAAAAAAGAAAUCAGUAAUUUAGUAUGGCAAUUUUACUCCAAAGAUUAUUGAUUAAAAAUUAUUUUACUAAUACCAACGUGUAAGAGUUAAAGGCAUAAAAUUGAAAUUAAAGUAAGUUUAUUAUUUUGGAUUUGGUUAAGUAAUGACAAGAUUAAUAAUUGAAAUUAAUGUAAAAAGAAGUGUAAAAACUUUAAAAGUUUAAAAUAUCAUUUCAUUAUUAAUUAGUUUCCACUUGCCAACAUAGACUUCUCAUUCUAUUCAAACAAGUUUUUUGUACUUUUAUAUAUAUAUAUAUAUAUAUUUCAUAAACUUAACAAAGGAUACAAACAACAAAAGAAAAAAAAAAUUGAGCUACUAAACCUCAAUAUAAAUUUGGGGUGAAUUAUCAAGGUCUAUUAAGGAGCAUGGGGAAGUGUUGUAUCACAUAUCGAUGUGAAGAAGGUGUAUAUAUAUUUAUAGUAUAGGACCUAAGAUGUGAACGUUUCUUUUAAAGUUAGGUAAACAUUUCUUUCAAAAUUAAUGGAAUCUCACUAUGAUUUAUAUACACAUGCUUUCAGUGUCCAUAGAGGUUGAAAUAAUACGAUGAUUUUUAACUUAUAUCUUGCUUUUUAUAUGUGAUUUAAUAUUGUUUUGGAUUAUUGAUUAUGACUCAUGAAUUAUCAUGCAUGGAACUAAUCAAAAUGAUAUAAUUAAAUUAUAUUAAUGAAUUUGAGAUAGACAUGACAAUUAUUAAUUUAAAAUAUCUUAUAUGAACAUAAAAUUUUAAAUAUAGACUCAUAAUUUAUAUAUAUUAAUAUAAUAAAGUUGAAAAACUACGUUUAUCUCAAAUUUAUGCCUAGGGCCCAAAUUUUGCUGAGAGCCAGCCGGAUGUCAUCACAUGCAAGAAAGCUAGGAAACAAAGCUAAAGUUUGCUUCUUGUGUGGGAAGAGGUACUUCCGUGCUUGACUGAAAGAAAGGAUUUUCUACAAGAAAAAUUGUCCCCUUGUUUGUAAAGCCUCAAGUUGCGACAGCAAUAACGACAAAAGUAGGCCAAAGAAUUUGUCAUUAUUAUGAGACUAGAGAGGUUUUACUGAGAAGUUUUCCGAGCGUGAUAUCAGCAUUCGCUGUAUCACAGUGAUACAACAAAUGGUUUGAACACAGUGAUCUAGAACCCAUUAGCUCAAAUUUCAUUGAUCUGAACACGAUGAUCCUCAUCCGCAGACCAUUUUAGGGAAUGAUUAAUUCGAGCGAUUUUUUAACUGCCUGUACGAAGAACUUUAUCAAAAUUGGAUUCAGUGUAUCUUAACCAAUCUUGAUCAGUAUGCGACUGAUGAUUCUAUUUGAUAAAAGUAAUGCGGUGGCCCAACUUUAUCUUAAUUUCUAUGUUGAAAGUAACCAUAUAUUAUUCUAUAAUUAUAAAUAUAUACUGUGGAAUCAAGAUAACUUUGAUAUGCUAAGGAUCAAAAGAGGGCAGCCACUUUAGUAGUGGAUUAUACUAAAUAAAGCUGAUCGAUUAUUACAUUGGAAAAUAACAUUGAACCUAUCAUGAAAGACAACCCUACUGGACCAUGCCCCGAGUACUAAAUGCUGAUAAAAAACAAGUACAUGUUCCAAAGGAAUUGAGUCCAUAUAUACACAUUAGUGCUCAAAGAGAAAAACUAUAUAUCCACCGCUUAACUACAGUGAUCCUUUGAGCAGAAGAAGCUAGCCAUGUAUUUCCUUCUCCAAUACCUAAACAUCACCACGGUCGGAGUCUUUGCCACACUUUUCCUUUCCUACUGUCUAUUAUUAUGGAGGUCUAGAGCUGGUAACAAAAAAAUAGCACCUGAAGCUGCUGCUGCAUGGCCCAUAAUCGGUCACCUACACCUGUUAGCUGGUGGUUCUCAUCAGCUUCCCCACAUAACCUUGGGAAACAUGGCCGACAAAUAUGGACCGGUCUUCACAAUUCGGAUUGGGUUGCAUCGAGCUUUGGUGGUAAGUUCUUGGGAGAUGGCUAAAGAAUGCUCGACCGCCAAUGACCAGGUUUCAUCCUCGCGUCCCGAACUUUUAGCCUCAAAACAUUUGGGCUACAACUACGCCAUGUUUGGUUUCUCUCCAUACGGUUCUUACUGGCGUGAAAUGCGCAAGAUAAUCAGCCUAGAGCUACUCUCUAACAGCCGCUUAGAGCUGCUGAAGGACGUCCGAGCUUCAGAAGUGGUGACAUCCAUAAAAGAGCUAUACAAGCUCUGGGCAGAGAAAAAAAAUGAAUCGGGCCUUGUCUCUGUGGAGAUGAAGCAGUGGUUUGGAGACUUGACUCUGAACGUAAUUCUUAGGAUGGUGGCAGGGAAGCGUUAUUUCAGUGCUUCAGAUGCAAGUGAAAAUAAACAGGCGCAGAGGUGCCGGAGAGUGUUCAGGGAAUUCUUUCAUUUGUCAGGGCUCUUUGCGGUGGCGGACGCUAUUCCAUUUCUUGGAUGGCUCGACUGGGGGAGACAUGAGAAAACCCUAAAGAAGACAGCAAUAGAAAUGGACAGUAUUGCUCAAGAAUGGUUAGAGGAGCACCGUCGGAGGAAAGACUCCGGUGAUGAUAAUAGUACGCAAGACUUCAUGGAUGUGAUGCAGUCAGUUCUUGAUGGCAAAAACCUUGGUGGUUACGACGCUGAUACCAUCAAUAAAGCCACAUGCAUGCCUGGUAUGAGUUAUUAAUGAAGCACCCACGUACCAUUUAUAUUUGCAUAUUAUCAGGGCUAGCUUCUUUUCCACAGACAGUUUUUCUUUUGUUUAUAUGUUUUAAUUGAUGCAUAUUCACUUUCUUCUUCUCUUAAUUAAAUUGCAAUAAUUAAACAUACAAUUUAAAUAAAUUUUAAAUUUUAUUUUUAACUAAAAACAAAAGUAUACAUAUACAAAUAUAUAUUGCUUAAGCAAUUAAUUUUUAAAAAUUAUUCUUUCAGAACACCUUAGACAAGUUGAGACAUGCUUCGAGGGAAAUCUAAAUAUAAUGAUUUUAAAAGCUACUUUGUAAUUUUAUUUUCGAGCAUGUUGCAUAAUAUAUGCUUUCCUUGAAUUGAUUUUCUAAAUUUUAUUUUUGUCAGCAAGAAAGGGUUAUCUACGUUUUGGAAGUUAUCUUUAAUUUCCCCUGCAAAGAAUAAGUGUGUGGACCCUGCAUUUCGGCUCAAUGCGUUUCCCACUCGAUGGCGAGCUCGAUUUUUAUUUGAAAAAUGAUUUUUAUUGAUUAUUUAGAAAAUGACUUGGAGUCGCCACUUAUUUUUGUUUUAUUUUUAAAGGGUAAACAAAAUAAGAAAGAAAAACCCUAAGUGUGACUCCUUAUUUUGGAAAAGGUGGUCUGUGAAAAACUGAAUCGGGUUCAGGGGUCAGGUUACUUAUUGGGAAGGUACGGUAUGGACCGUAGCACCCCUCUAAGUCCCUAAAGUCGGGUCUCUACUAAUGAGAUGAAGCUGACAUGGCAAUCAAUGAGAAAAUCAAUGAAUACUCGAAUCAAUCAUGCACAUAUGAGAGACAAAGCAUGUAUAAAGAAUGAGCAAAAUAUGAAUAGAUGCGUACCUGGGCGACAAUCACGAAUGCGCUAUCAUGAAACAUGGUUAGUGAACAAUAAACAUAUAUAAUUAAGCGCAUAUCAAGGAAUAGAGUAAAUCAAUCAUGCAUGACAAAUAAAUCAAUCAAUCAUGGAAUCUCAUAUGUAGGGCCCCCACCAAAACCCAAUUCAUUUUUGCAUGAAUCAAUUCCAUAAAUUCCAUCACUUGGAAUUACGGAAUUUAAUUCUUACUUAUUUUUAAAACAUUUUAAAAACCAAGAAAAUGCACAAGUGGCUUGCCGGAAGGAAAAUGGCAACCAAAUUUUAUUGAAAAUGGGAUUUAAGAAGAUUAUUUUCAAGAAAACAGGGGAUGAGAGAAUAGAAGGAAAUGGCACAUGGUCAAGAGCUGCAUGCCUAAGGUGGCCAUGCAAAAACACUUCCCUCUAAGCUCAGGGUGGAGGGACUGCACUAUAAGGAUCAGUGGUGCUGCAGAGCUUGUCAGAACAGCUGAUGGCAUCAUAGGUGUUGCUCCUGAUUGCCUGAAAGAAUUCAUCUCUAAUGGACGGAAUCGAUUGCUCUACAUGAUUAUUCCAGAAGGUAAUGGUUGAGUCCUUAGCUUCACGAACCCAAUUUUUUAUGUCAUUACUUCCCAUCAAACUACCAUGACAUAGGAGCCACACUGAGCAAACUGAUGAGCCCGCUGCCCCACAUGUAUAGGGAAUCCAGUACAAAGUUAAUUUCCGCGGUUUACGAUGUUCGGAAACAAGGAUACUUAGGUAAGAAUCCAGCUUAUACAUGAUAAAUCACGNNNNNNNNNNNNNNNNNNNNNNNNNNNNNNNNNNNNNNNNNNNNNNNNNNNNNNNNNNNNNNNNNNNNNNNNNNNNNNNNNNNNNNNNNNNNNNNNNNNNGUGGAUGCCGCCUAUGAUACUAGCCUCAGAAAUCAUGCCAUUGACAUCGUUGUGCUUGUUACUAUUGCCAUCUCUAUCUCACAUGUGAGAGCCCUUGAUGGAAUCAAUUAAAAUAAUCCUUGAUAGAAACGUGGACUUCAUGUCUCAAAUCUGGCCUUUCAUAUCUCCUCAUUUGUCCAUGUCAACUAUUGUCACCAAGCCAUAAGCCUCUUGAUCCCAUGAUAACCCCAUUAUUCAACCCAAUACUUCAAUGAUGAUUCUCUUUCAUUUGCAUUCCUGACCUUCUCUUAUCUCCAUUACUGAUCCCAUGGAUGUUUACAGGAUUGAGUAUUUGGACGAGAGCAAACUUUGAUUAGAACCCUGUAUCAUGUUGAGUCUCUGCCAGCCUGGAAGGAUAAAAAUCACGUUGCCCCAUAUGGUGAGUUUUACUUUGAUUUACUCUUCCUCCUUGAUUCGUAUAAUGCAAGAAGGACAGGAGUUAAAAUGUCACGGAUAGCAUGAUGGCAAUGCCCAAAAGUAGCGUCAGUGUACAUUUGAGUCAAACGCGACUCCAUAUCAAACAUUGGCGGCCAGCGUCCAAGUCAAAGGGACGUAGUGCCCAUAAUUCACUGUUGAUAUUCUUCUUUCUGGGGAUGGAACAGAUCCAACUUCAAGGAUUGGGUGAGUCUCCUAAGAACUUUUCAUAAGGAUGGAUGACUGCCCAACAAUGCACUCAGGUUCCAUCAUUGCAAAGCCUCAACAGACUGCAUGCACCAUUCGUCGCGUACCUCACGACAAAUGUGAGUCUGGUUAAUCCCGUAGGAGGACUCCAAGCAGCAUGCAUAACGUACCUCUUCGGAAUAUCACAACGAGACCCACUGGUGCCCUCGUCUGAAUACCCCUCCGCCUCUCAUUCAAGUAAUGGGUGUUGGACCCAUGUAUGCAUGCAAAGAUGGAGGAGUGAAGUGGUGAGAGAAAGGAUGUAUGGAUUUAGCUGCGAGUAAGGUCACGGGUAUGGGAGGAUGGAUGCGGUGAAGACCUUUGAGGGUGAUGAAAAAUGGUGCAUGGAGUAAGAUAGGCUAAAGUGGAAAUGCGUGGUAGAAUGGGCAUAGGAGUAUCAUGAGAGAAGUGUGCAGGGACUACAUGCAUGUGGGUGGCUAGGGAAGUAAAAGAUGGGUUCAACAGUGAAACGUAUGGGAAUGAUGAGAGGGAAAGCGGAUUAGCAGAUGGGGUUAAUGAGUGAUAUGAAGAAUGGGGUAUGAGACCUGGGUAUAAGGUGAAAUGAAUAUGACAUGGUUAUGCAUGGCCAUGCCAUGGCCAUGCAAGAACAUGAUGGAAAGGGAGUGACGGAUGUAUGAAUAAUGGAGAGCAUGAGGAGGUAUGGGAUAGAUGAACAGGGCUGGAUGGUGGAUGAUGAAUAAGUAAUGGUGAAAUGGGUAUGAAAGAGUUUGAAGAGAGAGAAAAGGUGGUAAUGUGGAAUGGGUUUGAUAGGUGGGAGUACAAAGUGGGUAUGAAGAUGGGUAUGAAUGGUUUAGUAGGUACGAGACAAAUGGGUUAGAUGGAGGGUAUAAUGGGUGAUGUAAUGAUGGAAACCCGGGCGUUUAUUCAUCUUUGGAGGCACGAUACCCGGGUCAUGAACAGAUGGAUCACACUUCUUGGCCAGCUGCAUUCAGGCCAUAGUCAAUACAACCGACUUCGCUACCUCCAUUUCCAGGCACAGUGAUUGACACAAAGGAAGGUAACUUCCCAAUAAUCAAGCUUCUUUCGAUACAAGGUCUGCAUGGCUUAGCCGAGUUCAGUUUAGUUGGGUGUCGAAUCCCAUUGGUCAGUAGACCCAUUUGGAGCGAAACUGAACCCUUUAAUCCAAAUGGACCGUUACAGAGAGCACAAAGCAGCAGUAGGAUUAGCAAGACCCAGAGCAUAAGAGCGGGCUGUGACCAUGGCAGAGAUUCCAAAUUAGAAAGCAAGCACAAAACCAUCCAUGGAAGAGGUUAUCCAAGGUUUUGGAUGCUUAUGAAGUUUUCCCGCAAGUUGAACGAAUCUGUAACAGAGUGCCUUCUGAUCUAACCUGCAUAGUUUCAACAUGUACCACACCAUCCCCAUUCACGGUACCUCCAAUCACUAUGUCACCCUUCUUUCUUCGCCAUAGGCCUAGCAUCCUCUGUGAGCAUGUUCUUGAACCCACAAUCUCCCGCUUUACCUCAUGGAAACAUGUCAACCAAAAUAGCCCACCCAUCAAGUGACUGAUUCAACUCUGAUACCCGACAUCUCAGAUGCACCAACAACAGAAGCACAAAAGGGUAGGAAAUGGGGCCAAAACAGAAAAGAACGAAGGAAGGAUAAACGAGGAAUAAAGUAAAACAUAAGUGUAUAGAGCCUCAUUUCAGGUGACAUCCAUGGGCUUAUACAAGUGAGGAGAUCUCAAGUUAGAGUUACAGAAUAUAUGAGGAACCGAGUUCUAUUAACUCCAAGCCAAACCACAAGAACAGCAGUAAAAUCAACAACAAUAGAGUAUAAAAACGAUCCAGAAAUCAACAAAAUUCAGUACGUAUGACCCAACUCAAAUUGAUGAGCAAUGCAGAGCAAACCAAAAUGAGAAAAGGGUGAGAAAAAUAUGAAUCAAAGUAAGCAAGAAACUCACCUCAAACUCACCUGCAGACGCUCCUCUCUCUAUUCCUUCAUUCUCUAAGCUUCAGCUAGCCAAAAACAACGCCCAGAAUCUCCGUCACACAGCCACCCAAAACCUCCUCCUCUGCAGCCUCGAACCUCUCUGCCAACAAACAGCAACCAAAAGCACCUCCCCCUCUCGGAAACUUCUUUCUCCCUAAAAAAAAACUCUCAGACCAGCCUCUCUAAAGCUCCCCCUCUCUCAAGUUCACCGUCCAAAAUUACUCCUCUCAUGGAAAAACUCCCUGGAAUCCCCUCAGCAGCCCCGGUACCUCCAGCUAAAAGAAAAUCACCCCCCCCGGUUCUCAUGUCUCUCUCACCUUUUUUUCUCUCUAGCCAAAACCAGCUUUCUUUUCCUCCCUUUGGAAAUAUCUCCCUAACGGCCAGACGACACCCACCUGCCUUGCAGCUGCAAGCCUCCACUCCCCCCUAUGCAGCUGGCAGCCUCCCAAAAUCAACCCAACAAAAGCUCUUCCCCUAAAGAUUUCUGCCACCUUCCUCUUCUAGGCAAUAUCUCUUUUCUGUCCCGGAUUUGCCCCUCCAACAAUCCCUGUAGCCACCUCCAGCACCACUACACUCUGCAUGCAACUGGCAACACCUCCUAACGGAAAGCACGCUCCCUUCUUCUAGAAUGUUCUUCACUUUCCAGGUGUCUUCCUCUUAUUAGUCCAUCAAUUCCACCAUAGUGAUUCCACUAGUAGCCAACCCGAGAGUGACACGUGGCCAUGCGAGAUGGUGACACUUGUCCAGCAUCAGCUGCAAGAAUGACUCCCAAAAUGGGGGUCUACAACUAUGCCCAUUUUCGGUAGAGUUCACAAGUGUAAGGAAAAUGAACACUGGAAUGAAAGGUAGGUGUGAAUAGUGAGUGGAAUGAAGUGAACUCUACCGAAGAACCAAGGAGACCCCCAUAGGGACACUAGCAAAACACGAAUUCGCUCAGGCUGACAGACUGACACAAAGGCUCUGAUCCUAAAACAAAAUGAUGUCUCAAAAUGCCUCUGAGGCCAUACUAAGGAUCCAAGCUCCCUUUAACAUGCCUCCAAAAGUGACCCGAAGAUCGAUGUCAAAAGUGAGUAACGGUCGAACCACCCUGGAGUACGAACAAGAAUGCGUCUAAAGGAGACUGCCCUAUGUGGACUAUGAGAUGAAUAGGUGAUAAGCACAGGGUAACGAGGUGAGAAGAGUGAGAAUAAGUGCAAAUCCAUGAAGGUGAGAUGCGCAAUGCCAGUGAAUAUGAACGCUAGGGGCUGCGACUCUGAAUGACGAGACUGACCCUAAACGCUAAACUGAGAAAAACAAUGGCUCUGGAAGCCAGACCAAAAACUAACUCUAAAAACUAAACUAGAAUAACAGCUCUGGAAGUCAACCAAAAACUAACUCUAAAAGCUAAACUAGAAAACAACAGCUCUGGAAGCCAACCAAAAACUAACUCUAAAAACUAAACUAGAAAAUAACAGCUCUGGAAGCCAACCAAAAACUAACCCUAAAAGCUAAACUAGAAAACAAACAGCUCUGGAAGCCAACCAAAAACUAACUCUAAACUAGAAAAUAAUAGCUCUGGAAGCCAAACUGAAAACUAACUCUAAAAGCUAAACUAGAAAACAACAGCUCUGGAAGCCAAACCAAAAACUAACUCUAAAAACUAAACUAGAAAAUAACAGCUCUGGAAGCCAACCAAAAACUAACCCUAAAAGCUAAACUAGAAAGUAACAAACAGCUCUGGAAGCCAACCAAAAAACUAACUCUAAAAACUAAACUAGAAAAUAACAGCUCUGGAAGCCUAAACAAGUCGACAGUAACGACUCUGGAAGCCUAAACAAGAUGAUAGUAAUGGCUUUGGAAGCCUAAACAAGAUGACGGUAACGACUCUGGAAGCCUAAACAAGAUGAUAGUAAUGGCUCUGGAAGCCUAAAUAAGAUGACGGUAAUGGCUCGGAAGCCUAAACAAGAUGACAGUAACGACUCUGGAAGCCUAAACAAGAUGAUAGUAAUGGCUCUGGAAGCAUAAACAAGAUGACAGUAAUGACUCUGGAAGCAUAAACAAGAUGACAGUAAUGGCUCUGGAAGCAUAAACAAGAUGACAGUAACGACUCUGGAAGCCUAAACAAGAUGAUAGUAAUGGCUCUAGAAGCCUAAACAAGAUGAUAGUAAUGACUCUAGAAGCCUAAACAAGAUGAUAGUAACGACUCUGGACGUCGAAACUAAAAAGUGAUGAUGAUGACUCUGAACGUCAAACUGAGAAGUGAUAACGACUCUGAACGCCAAAACCGAGGAUGCGACUCUGAAUGUCGAUCUGAAAACCGAUGAUGGCUCUGAACGCCUAAACUGAGAAAUGAUGAUGAUGACUCUGAACGUCAAACUGAGAAGUGAUAACGACUCUGAACGCCGAAACCGAGGAUGCGACUCUGAAUGUCGAUCUGAAAACCGAUGAUGGCUCUGAACGCCGAAACUGAGAAGUGAUGAUGAUGACUCUGAACGUCAAACUGAGAAGUGAUAACGACUCUGAACGCCGAAACUGAGGACGCGACUCUGAAUGUCGAUCUGAAAACCGAUGAUGGCUCUGCACGCCGUAACUGAGAAGUGAUGAUGAUGACUCUGAACGUCAAACUGAGAAGCAAUGAUGAUGACUCUGAACGUCAAACUGAGAAAGUGAUAACGACUCUGAACGCCGAAACCGAGGAUGCGACUCUGAAUGUCGAUCUGAAAACCGAUGAUGGCUCUGCACGCCGUAACUAAGAAGUGAUGAUGAUGACUCUGAACGUCAAACUGAGAAGCAAUGAUGAUGACUCUGAACGUCAAACUGAGAAAGUGAUAACGACUCUGAACGCCGAAAUCGAGGAUGCGACUCUGAAUGUCGAUCUGAAAACCGAUGAUAGCUCUGAAUGCCGAAACUGAGAAGUGAUGAUGAUGACUCUGAACGUCAAACUGAGAAGUGGCUCUGAACGCCGAACUGAAAAAUGUGACAUGAUGACUCUGAAUGUCGUAAACCGUGAAUGAACGGCGACUCUGAACGCCAGACUGCAAGGAAACAAUGUGGGGGAAAUAUGCCCCAGUGUGACAUGCCGCUGCAAAUCUCAAACUGCUAGAAAUGGCUAAAAGGGACUCUACGAGUCUCGAAAGACGCACCACUAAGAGCUCAUGUCAAUGAAGAGCUCAGGAACAACGGUCAGUGAGGCGAAUACAAUAUAUCUCGGCCGAGUGAUGGAAACCGCGACGGACAUGUGAGAGAACGAUCGCCUCCAUGGCUAAAUGAGGGAAAUACGCCCCAGUAUGGCAUCAGAUGUACCCGAUCUGCCCUGAUGACCCGAGAAUAACACCAUGGGGAUGCAUAAAAGACCUGAUGUGUACCGCACUGAAAUGAUGACAUGGGGAUCCAAGCACUCGACAUAACCCCAUCCAGGAAUCACGACUAUAUCAAAGAGUAUGAAUCUGGCUGAACGAGUCAAGAGAGGCUCCUCGGAGUAUCAGGACAAAAUGAAAUCAAUCAUCAACCUGGCGUGUAUCUCAUAACUGUGGAUGAUCAUGUAAACCAGUGGGGAUCUAUAAAUCUCGAUCAAGAUGGGGAAUAUGCCCCAGUGUGGCAUCGGAAAUGUAACAUGUCGAAAAAUCAGCUGAGCUCAAAUCAUCUAUGCCUGCAACUAGCUAGAUGGCUCUCGAUAGGCUCCACUAAGGAAUCAUCGCGAGGAUAGCGAAUAUAUCAUCAUCCCUGUAUACAUCUCGCAAAUAAGGAUAAGCACGCAACUUCCUCAUGAUCUGUAAAUCUCAUCCGAACGGAAAUAUGCCCCUGUAUGGCAUCGAAAUGUAGGAUAGGUCGGAGAUCAGAUAGCAUGGAAUCAUCUAUCUUAGAACAUGUGACCUCUGCGAAAAUCCAUAAAGAUCCUCCGAAACGGAAUAUGCCCCAGUAUGGCAUCUGACGUGCGACAAACCAGGAAAAACAGGUGACAUCGAAUCAUCCCUCAUCAAACACGUGAUCCUGGUAAUCCAAACACGGUCGAAACGGAUCUAAACAUCUGAGAAGUGUUUCUCAGAAGAAGAUGCAUGGCAAAUAUCUGGAUGUCAACUGAAUCUCAAACACCUGUCCACAUAGAAGCCGUAGAAGACGAUAUCUGAUCCCAUGGCCUCAGGGUGGUCUUAAGACACAGGACGUAAUGUAGGCUAGGGUGAUAGGGUGAUAGAAACGAAGGGAAACUAAGCUCAAAUACCCAAUGAUCAAAACCCAUGCCCUCGUGUGUGAAAUGCAACAUGUACAGAAAAUCCUGUGAGCCCUGGACCUGAGGGUGUCUAAUGUGAAUAUGAUGUCAAUGAGGAAACAAGUGAAGCAAAUCAAACUGAUAAUGAGAUAUGUAAUGGUGAUACGAAGGGAAUAUCAAACCCGAGAUGGGUCUGGUAAGAAAAGAAUGAGAAGUGAAGUGAGAAUGACGAAUCAGAAGCGAAAACGAGGACGAUGAUAAUGAAGCGAAUAACAUCAAAAGGAGUGAUGAUCAACUCAGAUCAGACAUGGAGUGAUGUCACAUCAACUACGAACAUAAUGAUGGAACGUACAAUAACGCAGAGCUCCUAAGAGAAAGUCACUCAUCUCGCUCACAAAAUAUGCAACAAAAUGAAUACAAAGCCUGAGGGAUCCAGGGAAGCUCACAUACGAACUCCCGUCAACAAACAUACUCGAUCAAGUGACCCUCGAAUAUCAAUACAUACACUCAGUGAUGGAUAACAAAACACACUUGAUUUUUAUUUCUUUUUCCAUUUUUUUUUUUUCAUUUUUUUCAUUCAUUUUUUUUUUUUUUUACAACAUAUAAAUGAACUGUACAUGAUCUGAAUGCAUACAAAGAAGACCCAAAGACGGGAUCAAAAAUGAAUAAACAUGCCCUCAAAUAUCAAUAUAUCACAAACUCAAUCUAAUGAGAUGAGGUGACCUUCUCAAACUGAGGAUCCCUGGAUCAGUGUCCGUGGGAUAGAUAGUGGAAAUGGCGUGACUACCCUCCAUGUGAUGAAAUGAGGAGGAUCACCCCUCGGGGUGAAAGAAGAUGACAUGAAACGAAUAGUAGAUAAGAUAAAGAAAAUAUGAUGAAUAACACGAACAGUGAGAUGAGAUGAAAUGCAAUGAUGCAGUGGUGAGCACAGAUAAUGAGAAGAACGUGCCCCUAGGUCCAAGGCUCAUGAAACUCUCAAACAAUGCAUGCAUACACUAAAGGGCCCCAAUCCCGGUGUGAAAAUGUGAGCAAGGCUAUAGAAAAUGAAGGCUAUGAUGCGCGUGUGAGGCUCAAAUGGGCUAGCAAUGGACUAUAUAUAUCAGAAACGGGAUAAAGGGAUAUAGCUAACCGAAAUGAUGGCCACCCAUCCUGCGACCAUGGACUCAAACGUAGUACCUCUUUAGCUGAUCCACAUUGGUCGGCUCUGAGAACUGGUUUCCAUCUAAAUCCAUCAGCCAUGCAGCGCCCUCUGGAGUCAACUUCCUGAUGAAAUAAGGUCCGCUCCAACUAGGUCUGAACUUCCCUCUAGGAUCUCUGAUCAAUCCUCUGAUGACUCUCAAAACUAAGUCACCUACAUGCAGUGGUCUAGGCUUGACCUGCUUUUUGAAAGCGCGGGCCAUCUUCCUCUGAUAUGCACGAACGUGGUCUGCUGCUCUCAAUCUCCUCUCAUCUAGGAGAUUGAGCUGAUCAAAUCGAGCCUGAGCCCAAUCCGUCUGGGGAAUCUGCUGCUCUAGUGCUACUCUCAAUGAUCCCAUCUCAAUCUCAACAGGUAGCACUGCCUCCAUGCCGUACACCAAUGAAUAGGGUGUGGCUCCUGUAAAGGUGCGAAAAGAAGUCCGAUAUGCCCACAAUGCGAAAGGGAGCUUCUCUGACCAAUCCCGAGAAGUCUCAACCAUCUUUCGCAAUAUCCUCUUAAUAUUCUUAUUCGCGGCCUCUACUGCCCCAUUCGUCUGCGGCCUGUACGCAGACGAUCUAUGAUGCCGGAUGCCGUAUCUCUGCACCAAGGUGUCAACCUCUGCUCUGAAAUGCACCCCUCUGUCUGAAAUAAGCUCGUGAGGGACUCCAUAGCGACAAAUGAUGUGCGAUCUAAUGAAACUGACAACUCCAGAUGACGUCAAUCUCGCAUACGAGGCGACCUCCACCCACUUGGUGAAGUAAUCAAUAGCAACAAGGAUAAACUCAUGACCACUGGAAGAUUUCGGUGAAAUCUUCUCGAUGAUAUCGAUACCCCAUACUGAAAACGGCCAUGGUGAAGUCAAUGCAUGCAACUCCGAGGGCGGCACGUGAAUGAGAUCUCCAUGUAUCUGACACUCGGGACAUCUCUGAACGAACUGGCAACAAUCUGUCUCCAUGGUCAACCAAAAGUAUCCUGUCCUCAUGAUCUUACGGGCCAACAUAUGCCCCCCAUAUGUGGUUCGCAGACUCCCGCAUGAACCUCUCGCAUAACUCUAUCGGCAGAAGCGCGAUCCAAACAUAAUAGCAGUAUCCCAUCAAAUGAUCGUCUAUAUAGCGUCUCGCCACAAAUCACGAAUCGGGUGGCCAACUGUCUCAAUGCCCUCCUAUCCUUGGCCGUGGCGGCCUCAGGAUAUAUGCCGAGUCUCAAAAAGUGAUAUAUGUCAUGAUACCAGGGCAAACCAUCGUCUAUCUCCAUAUCAUCAAUCAAACAACAAUACGCAGGAGCAGAUCUCGACUCAAUCAACAAAGGGCGAACAGUGGCAUCAGCGGGAAUGUCGAUCAUGGAAGCUAGAGUAGCUAAAGCAUCAGCAAACUGGUUUUGCGCUCUAGGCAGAUGUGUAUAUCUCAAAUCCUCAAAUCUCGCGACCAGUAGCUCCAAAUACGCGUGGUAAGGCCUAAGCUUCACAUCUCUAGUCUUCCACUCGCCUUGAAUCUGUCUCAAUACCAGAUUGGAGUCACUAAACACCUCCAUCUGUCUAAUCCCAAGCUCGAGGGCUGUCUCUAACCCCAAGAUACAUGUCUCAUACUCAACAAUGUUGUUCGUGGCUGGAUGUCGAUCCGAGAAUGCCAAACGAACAGAUCUGGGAAUGUGAUCACCAUGAGGGGAUAUCAACAAAACGCCUAUCCCGUAUCCAGAAUGGUUGGCUGCACCAUCAAAGUACAUGCGCCAACCCGACAGACUAGUCGCAGCUGCGACGUCCUCGUCUGGAAAAUCAUCGUCAAUAGCUCUGGCAUCAGAAACUGGUAAUGAGGCUAAGUGAUCUGCGACAAUGCUCCCUCUGAUGGACUUCUGAGUGACAUAAUGAAUGUCAAACUCAGUCAGAAGUACCAGCCAUCUCAUAAGGCGACCAACUAGAGCGGGCCUGUCAAACAAAUAUCUCAAAGGAUCAAGACGAGAUAUCAAAUGCACUGAAUACUCGGUCAUGUAAUGUCUCAAUCGGCGAGUGGCCCAAACCAAUGCCAAGCAGUAGCGCUCAAUCGUGACGUAUCUCGUCUCGUAAUCUAGCAUCCUCUUGCUCAGAUAAUAAAUGGCUCGAUCUUUGCCCGAAUCAUCGAGCUGAGCUAACAUGCAACCUAAAGCCACAUCCGAAACUGAUAGGUAUAGGAGUAGAGGAUGGUCUGGUGUAGGCGGAGCCAAAACUGGAGGCGACAACAAGUACUCUCGGAUCCUCUCAAAUGCGCGCUGACACUGAUCAUCCCAAACAGUAGGUUGACUCUUCCUCAAGAGUCGGAAAAUGGGCUCACAAAUGUCUGUCAAUCUGGCUAUGAAUCUACUGAUGUACUGAAGUCUGCCCAGGAAGCCUCUGACCUCUCUCUCUGUCCUCGGUGCAGGCAUGUCAAGGAUGGCUCUAAUCUUGUCCGGAUCUACCUCUAUGCCUCGCUCACUGACCAUGUACCCCAAGAGUUUCCCAGAAGUCACUCCAAAAGUGCACUUCUUGGGAUUCAGCCUCAAUCUAAAUUGUCUGAUCCUCUCAAAGAACCUCUCAAGAGCUGCCAAGUGAUCUGAUCUAUCUCGGGAUUUCACUAUCAUGUCGUCUACAUAAACCUCGACAUCCCGAUGCAUCAUGUCAUGGAAGAGUGUGGUCGCUGCUCUCUGAUAGGUGGCUCCUGCGUUCUUCAAUCCGAAUGGCAUGACUCUAUAGCAAUAAGUACCCCACUCGGUAAUGAAGGACGUCUUCUCCAUGUCCUCUGGAGCCAUCAAGAUCUGACUAUACCCGGAAAAUCCGUCCAUAAAGGACAACAUCGAGUGACCUGCUGUACUGUCAACUAACAUGUCGAUGUGUGGGAGAGGAAAAUCAUCUUUAGGACUGGCCUUGUUGAGAUCUCGGAAAUCAACACAGACUCUCACCUUGCCGUCUUUUUUGGGAACAGGGACGACAUUGGCCAGCCACUCUGGGUACUCGACUACUGAUAGAAAUCCUACACUGAGCUGCUUCUGAAUCUCCUUUUUCACCUGCAAGCUCCAACGAGGGUGCAAUCGUCUCAACCUCUGCUUAACCGGUCUGGCAUGGGGCAGAAGUGGCAAACGAUGCUGGACGAUGGAUGGAUCAAGGCCCGGCAUGUCCUCAUAGGACCAUGCGAAAACGUCCAAGUAGGAUCUGAGCAGCUGGAUGAGACUAUCUCUCUCAUCUGAGGAUAAAUCUGACCCGAUCCUCAACUCCCUAGGCUGAUCUGCGGUGCCGAAAUCAACAAUCUAUGUGUCUCCUACAGCAGGUGAAACCCUCUGAUCAACGGGAUCCGAAUCGGAAACAGAAGAUGAGUCAUCAUCUGAGUCGUGCUGUGCAAUCUCAUCAUCAAUAUCAAAAAUCUGUGAUGUGGGUGAAGAUGGUGCAGAUAAAUCAAUAUCACAAGAGACAGGCAGGUACUAAAAAAUGCUCAAAUCCAUAGAUGAAACAUCGGAAACAAUGUCAGAACGGGAGACAAACCCCGACUGAACGUCAAAUGAAAGAGGUGGGUCCACAAAGUCGGACGCUUCCUCAACAAUGCCAACAUGGCUAUCAAUCAAAUCAUAAAAAACUAUAGCAUCCUUAGUAAUCUCCAGAGCAGGGGCUGUCUGGAUCUCCUCAACGAUCUCGAUGAAAGACACCCCGAAAAGAUCGAAUGGUGAAGUGAGCCCAGGAUGAACUCUCUCCUCGAUCGGGCCCAGGCUCAGGGCGAGCAUCUCGUCGAUGUACUCGUCGUGUGGGACGGCUCCGUCCACUAUGUCUCCGACCCCAGCAAAGGUCUCAUGCUCAUCGGUCUCGUCCGGGAAGCAAAGCGUUAUAAGGCUCGUGCGAUCUGGAGACGAAGGAGCAAUCAACACAGAAGUCGAAGAGCCAGGAGCUCCAUCUCUCAAUCGUAACUGAUGGACAAGGCGCUGAAGCUCGACCUCCUGAGUGGUGCUAAGUCCUCCAAUGAUCACGUCCGCACGGGUCAAUGGCUCUGAUGCCCUCACAAAAUAAUCAGAUAAGCUCCUGGUGUAUGGGCGAAGAGGAUAGUAGAAAGGUGUGUGGGUCAGUCACUCUCUCCUUGCGCAAACGCGCCAUGUAGAGAUAAUCGGCCUCAAUGGGGAUGAACCCGAGUCCGAACGGUACGUCGUGAUCAGGGAUGGCUAUGAACUCGCUCGGUCCAUGCUGACAUCGACCCAACCCCAUGCCGGGUAGAUAGGACAUGCUUCGCAUAAUAUCGAGCACCACUGUGCUCCCAUGCCGGUCAAAGGACAUGGCCACAAAAUCCCGGCAGAAAUCCUCUAUCUCCACAGUCUGCACCUCAUCGAAGGUGAAUUCAGUCAGAAAAAGAUCGUCAUCAGUGUGACUAAUCUCGAGCACAGGCUCGGCAACAAUGAACAUGUCUCCCACAGACUGUACCACGACGACCUGACCAUCGUGAAUAAACUUCACCUUCUGAUGAAGGGAAGAAGGAAUGGCCCCGGCUCUAUGGAUCCAUGGUCGGCCCAGAAGCAGGUUAAAGGAUGUAGGAAUCCUCAAAACCUGGAAUACAGCGACAAAAGUGGCCGGACCGAUCAGCAACUCGAUCUCCAAUGUACCCAUGACCUCUCUACGGGUGCUAUCAUAAGCUCGGACGGUCUGAGUGGAGGGACCGAAAUCAGAAGGAGCGUAUCCAAGGGCGAUGGCAGUGGCAAGAGGACAUACGUUCAGGGCCGAGCCAUUGUCCAAAAGGACAGAUGGGACUCGGCGGCCUGAACAGCCAACAGAUAUGUAGAGCGGACGAGUGUGGUCCGAGCCCUCCGGUGGCAAGUCAUCAUCGGAAAAGACGAUACAAGUGGCUCUGCCAGCCGUCAUCAUAUGAAGGAGUCCCUCGGGAGUGGUCGUGGUAUCAACUCUGAUCUGGCUCAGAGCUCGAGUCAGUGCGUCCCGAUGGGUACUGGAAGACGCUAAAAGGCUCCAGAUAGAAAUACGAGCCUGAGUGCUCUGCAACUGCCUCAAAAUCUCGUCAUCCUCUGCUCUCACCUCCUCCUGGGAUGACGUACCCCCUAAGGGUCUAGCGGGAGCGGCUGGAGGUGGCUGUCUCACUACUCUCCCUCCCCGGAGGAUAUACUAAACGUCCGGAGUCUGAGGAUCAUCACUAUGUGGAGCCUGAACCUCCUCAACAUCUGGGAUCAGAAUGUACGGCGCCUGAACGCUAUAGCGUGUGAAUGUCAGAGGCUCGGAAGUGGCCGCCUGUACAGAUGCUGCCUCAGGAACUAAUCGGAAUGGAGCAGGCAUCUGUGGCUCUAGAGUCACCCCACUCGUCUCGUAAAUCACAGCUGGCAUGAUAGGCUCUGGGUCUGGAUCAUCCCAACUCAACAUAUGGACAUGAUCAUCAGUCUCAUCGAAGUCCAAGAAAUGAAUACCACAAGCUGGUGGAGGAACUGCAUGUGUGGUGUGGGUCGGCAACGGGUUUGUGGUCACACUCGGCUGACCCAAGUGUACCAAACCCUGGUCUAUCAGAUCCUGAAUAGCGUGCCUCAGAGCGGUGCAUCGAUCGGUCUCAUGUCUAGGCCCCUGAUGAUAAGCACAGUGUAAAUCCAUCCUGAACUGAGCUGGAAUAGGCUGAGGUAGUGGCCGAGGGGUGAGAGCAGUCAAUAAACCAGCCUCCGUAAGCUUCCGAAGAGCCUGGCUCAACGGCAUGCCUAUCUGCGAGAACUGCCUCUGCGUCCUCAAAGUAAACGGAGCAGAAGUCUGCUGGGCUCCAGGUCGGGGAUAAGGCGCCGCAGGUCUCGCGGUGAACUGAGCAGCGUAGCAUGGCUGCCCUGUGGCUGUGUAGGAGACCGCGGGUCUCUCAAUGCCCUGAGUGGCAUAAGAAGGUAAAACCAAUGUCUGUGGCAUGUGUGUCUGAUCGUAAGCCGGACGAGGUGCCCGUGGCCUGUACUGAUGAGAUGCAUAGGAAGAAUGAGGCUCGAAAAACUGUGGGAUCGGCUGAUGGCGUCUAAGAGGCCUCUGACUGGAUGAACUGAUAGCACCAACCUCUGUCGGUCUCGGUCCUACGAAUAGUUUCUUCCCCUUAACAUCACUAGGGGAAGAAUCUGCCCAUAAACCUCUCGUGAUGCCGUCCUCGACAUCAUACAAAGCCAUAACCAGAGACCCAAAAUCUGUGAACGGGACCCCGACCACAUGUCUGGCGAUCCCCGGCUGUAGGCUCCUCAAAACCAUCUGAAUCUAGUCUCUCUCUGAUGGUCUAUCCACUAUCUCAGCUAUCUUCCCGCGCCAGCGGGAAAUGAAAGAAGAAACGGACUCCUCUGUCCUCUGCCUUAGAGCCUCGAGCUCUCUCCUCGAUACAUCUACAACAGUGUUAAACGAAAACUGUCGUAGGAACUCCUGGGCCAAGUCAUCCCAUGUACGGCGUCUCGAGGACUCCAGAGACGCAAACCAGCGCUGAGCUGCCCCACUCAGAGAUAGGGGGAAAAGAGUGAUCAUUUGAGGCUCGUCCAGUCCAUGAGCCCUCAUCACGGUGCUAUAAAGUCUGAGGUGGAGGCGCGGACAACCAAUACCAGUGUACCUCUCAAUAUCUGGCAUCCUGAACUUAGUUGGCAAGCUGGCUACCGGCAUACCCCCAAAAUCAUCCCAAACAACUGAUCCAUCUGACACUCUCAUCUGCCUCAUACACUGCUCGAUGCGGUCCAUGCGGGCAUGCGUGUCAUCAGCGACAACGGCCUGGGCGACUACGGGUGGAGUGAUCUCAGAAUGCCCGUGUAAUACAUAUGGUGAUGCCUGAUGCACUGAAGGAACGAGUGGGGGUGGUGGAGGUGGGUGUGAGUCAUAUGGCGUCUCAUCCUGGACUGCUGGUGGUCUACCCUACUGACCACCGAUCUCCUGCCUGAGGCUAGCCAAAGCCUCCUGGAUAGAAGCCAUGGCAGCCGUGAACUGAUCGACCGUGACAACCUGCUGAUCCAUAUCUGGUGUAUCUGAAACCCGAACUAAUCUGCCCUCUACUCUGAUCCACGAAACUAUACCCAGACUGAGAGUAAAAAUCCUGAUCCUGAAAGUACUCCUCUUCUGCUCUGAUCCACAAAGGUAUAUCAAGACAAGGAACAAAUGUCCUAUCCUACAAAGCACGAAGAACGUAAUAAGGAUAUGGCCCGGGGAACGUAUAGAAGAAAAGAUAAUCUGAACAGGAACAAGCAAAGCAUCCAAGUGAAGAUGAGCGAUCCGACCGUACUCAAACUCGUCCUGAUCUCAGUGCACUCUCAACUGGAGACUAAACAGAGGGAAAAUCGGAUCCAAAACUGCGGCUACAGAGGCACGGAAAGCCCUCAGAUGCACCCACGUGUAGGGAGGGAAUCCUAAUCGAAGGAUCUACGGCUCAACCUACAAGGUCAAGGUGGCUCUAAAUGGAUAAGGGUGGACUUUAAAAUAUCCCUAGCAGAAGCGAUUAUACCCUCCGACGGUACGCAACCCUCUGCACGUCUCCGAAGAGACGGGGCGCUUCCAUGCAAGGUGGUCAUCACCUCCACACAUGCACUACCUCGCAUCCCAGGGGGUUUCCUAUGGUGAAACCUCUCAAACUCUCAACACUCAAUAGUCGACUAGAGUGCACAGUGAAUGGUGUGGGUGCAUCCGAAACCCUAAAAAGCUAAAGCAGGAUAUGAAACACACUGGCCACACAAAUAUCCAUGAAACCUAGCUUCGGGCUAUACAGGUCUUCAAUGAUCGGACUCCAAUCGACAUCAAAGUGUCGCUCUCCUCCAAAAUGCUCCCGUGCAUCGAUAUAGCCCAUCGCUAGACCCUACUCCUAAUCUCCGGCUCGGUCAAAGAGCAAGCACACAGAAGGUCUCACACUUGCAAUAGUGAGAACCGAAAUGAAAGGAAUGACCGAAACCAAGAGAGUUGGAGGUAGGGGGAUAGAAGUGAGACCCACAUAGACAGGCAACAUGCAAUCAUACAGAGGGAGGGCAGUCAUGCAUCAUACGGUCAAGCAGAGUAUAGGAUAUAUCACUCAUGUCCACACAAAAAAAAAAGCUACAACUAUCAGGAUGAAUAGUGAUAUGAACAUCAUGCUCAAAAGAUGAUCUAGAUAAUAUGCAGGUCAGAGAAAACAACACAGCAAGUCAAACGAUGUACAAUAGUGAGUCUAUGCAUGUGAAGUGAGCAGAAUAAUCAGGAAGAAACAGAAUCGCUUUACCAAGCAAAACAAGGUGAGCAACCUAUGAUAAUCGGCAUGUCAAUGUACCAAACUAAUAUAGCAAUGAAGUACAAAAAAAACGACAUCCGAAGCCCCAAAUCAAGAUGAUCAAUCAUAUCAAUGUCACAACAUAAUAUCCAAGCAUACAUAAAAAAAACUCUCAAUGUGCAAUCAAGAGACAGGUACUCGCUGAUCGACUCAUCAAAUGCCCUGUUUGCUUCAUCUUAAGUUCAAGCUUGACCCUCUAACUCAUCCCCAGCGGAGUCGCCAUUUUGUGGACCCCGCAUUUCGGCUCAAUGCGUUCCCCACUCAAUGGUGCAUGCAGUCUGUUGAGGCUUUGCAAUGAUGGAACCUGAGUGCAUUGUUGGGCAGUCAUCCAUCCUUAUGAAAAGUUCUUAGGAGACUCACCCAAUCCUUGAAGUUGGAUCUGUUCCAUCCCCAGAAAGAAGAAUAUCAACAGUGAAUUAUGGGCACUACGUCCCUUUGACUUGGACGUUGGCCGCCAAUGUUUGAUAUGGAGUCGCGUUUGACUCAAAUGUACACUGACGCUACUUUUGGGCAUUGCCAUCAUGCUAUCCGUGACAUUUUAACUCCUGUCCUUCUUGCAUUAUACGAAUCAAGGAGGAAGAGUAAAUCAAAGUAAAACUCAUCAUAUGGGGCAACGUGAUUUUUAUCCUUCCAGGCUGGCAGAGACUCAACAUGAUACAGGGUUCUAAUCAAAGUUUGCUCUCGUCCAAAUACUCAAUCCUGUAAACAUCCAUGGGAUCAGUAAUGGAGAUAAGAGAAGGUCAGGAAUGCAAAUGAAAGAGAAUCAUCAUUGAAGUAUUGGGUUGAAUAAUGGGGUUAUCAUGGGAUCAAGAGGCUUAUGGCUUGGUGACAAUAGUUGACAUGGACAAAUGAGGAGAUAUGAAAGGCCAGAUUUGAGAGAUGAAGUCCACGUUUCUAUCAAGGAUUAUUUUAAUUGAUUCCAUCAAGGGCUCUCACAUGUGAGAUAGAGAUGGCAAUAGUAACAAGCACAACGAUGUCAAUGGCAUGAUUUCUGAGGCUAGUAUCAUAGGCGGCAUCCACCAGGCCAUUUUGAUCCAUAAGAAAGGUAGCAAAGUGCAUCGGGGCUUCCUCUUCGUUUUGGGUGGAAUGGUGAUCUUUGUGUUCCUCAACGACAUCCAUGGAGUGGAGUAGAUUGUUUAUUUGACAGUAGCAAUUGCAAAUGGGUCAUUAAUGGACUUGGUUUUGAUUACCAGGGCUUGAGAGGUUUCUUACCGAAUGAUAUAUCCCAAUCGCGCCAUCUACAUGCAACACGUCAGAAUGAUUCUUCUGUGGAUGGGAGCUAUUCAUGUCCUCUGGUGUUUGAGAAACUGCCAGACGUAAACCAGGAAGGGUCCCAGUGGACAGAUUGUGAAAUUCGAGAGACCAUCAACGUGAUUUAUCAUGUAUAAACUGGAUUCUUACCUAAGUAUCCUUGUUUCCGAACAUCGUAAACCGCGGAAAUUAACUUUGUACUGGAUUCCCUAUACAUGUGGGGCAGCGGGCUCAUCAGUUUGCUCAGUAUGGCUCCUAUGUCAUGGUAGUUUGAUGGGAAGUAAUGACAUAAAAAAUUGGGUUCGUGAAGCUAAGGACUCAACCAUUACCUUCUGGAAUAAUCAUGUAGAGCAAUCGAUUCCGUCCAUUAGAGAUGAAUUCUUUCAGGCAAUCAGGAGCAACACCUAUGAUGCCAUCAGCUGUUCUAACAAGCUCUGCAGCACCACUGAUCCUUAUAGUGCAGUCCCUCCACCCUGAGCUUAGAGGGAAGUGUUUUUGCAUGGCCACCUUGGGCAUGCAGCUCUUGACCAUGUGCCAUUUCCUUCUAUUCUCUCAUCCCCUGUUUUCUUGAAAAUAAUCUUCUUAAAUCCCAUUUUCAAUAAAAUUUGGUUGCCAUUUUCCUUCCGGCAAGCCACUUGUGCAUUUUCUUUGUUUUUAAAAUGUUUUAAAAAUAAGUAAGAAUUAAAUUCCGUAAUUCCAAGUGAUGGAAUUUAUGGAAUUGAUUCAUGCAAAAAUGAAUUGGGUCUUGGUGGGGGCCCUACAUAUGAGAUUCCAUGAUUGAUUGAUUUAUUUGUCAUGCAUGAUUGAUUUACUCUAUUCCUUGAUAUGCGCUUAAUUAUAUAUGUUCAUUGUUCACUAACCAUGUUUCAUGAUAGCGCAUUCGUGAUUGCCGCCCAGGUACGCAUCUAUUCAUAUUUUGCUCAUUCUUUAUACAUGCUUUGUCUCUCAUAUGUGCAUGAUUGAUUCGAGUAUUCAUUGAUUUUCUCAUUGAUUGUCAUGUCAGCUUCAUCUCAUUAGUAGAGACCCGACUUUAGGGACUUAGAGGGGUGCUACGGUCCAUACCGUACCUUCCCAAUAAGUAACCUGACCCCUGAACCCGAUCCGAUUUUUCACAGACCACCUUUUCCAAAAUAAGGAGUCACACUUAGGGUUUUUCUUUCUUAUUUUGUUUACCCUUUAAAAAUAAAACAAAAAUAAGUGGCGACUCCAAGUCAUUUUCAAAUAAUCAAUAAAAAUCAUUUUUCAAAUAAAAAUCGAGCUCGUCAUCGAGUGGGAAACGCAUUGAGCCGAAAUGCGGGGUCCACAAAGUGAUCUUGAAAAUUAUAAGUUAAUUAUGUUUACUUGAAUAAGAGAUUUGAAUAAUCUUGUAAAAAGAUGAUGUUUGUCGUUUAAGUGGAAGGUUGAUUUAGAAAUUAUCAUACAGGGAAAUGGAAAAAAAUACUAUUAUUUUGGUACAAGACCAUAUUAUUCAGUGGUGUCUCUAGAAAGUUCCAUUAGAUGCUAUUAAACAAUUAAUUUGGUGUCUCACUUGCAUAAUUUUGAGUUAUUGGAUUUUGGGUUUUGCAGACUCUAAUCUCCGGAGGUAACGACACAACUGUUGUCUCUCUGACAUGGGCACUCUCUCUUGUACUAAACAACCAUGACACCUUAAAAAAAGCUCAACAAGAAUUAGACAUCCAAGUUGGGAAGGAAAGAUUAGUGAAUGAACAAGAUAUAGGUAAGUUGGUCUAUCUCCAAGCCAUUGUUAAAGAGACAUUACGGUUAUAUCCAUCAGGACCACUUGGAGGACUACGCCAAUUUACCGAGGAUUGCACCUUAGGUGGAUACCAUGUCUCUAAAGGCACCCGUUUAAUAAUGAACCUUUCGAAGAUCCAAAAGGAUCCAAGAAUUUGGUCAAAUCCAACAGAAUUCCAACCAGAGAGGUUUCUCACCACCCAUAAAGAUGUUGAUCCUUGGGGAAAACAUUUUGAAUUUAUACCAUUUGGAGCUAGUCGAAGAGUAUGUCCAGGAAUAACUUUUGGUCUUCAAAUAUUACAUUUAACAUUAGCUAGUUUCUUACAUGCGUUUGAAUUUUCAACUCCAUCAAAUGAAUAGGUCGAUAUGCGCGAGAGCCUUGGACUUACAAACAUGAAAUCUACCCCACUUGAAGUUCUCAUUUCUCCACGCUUAUCUUCUUGUAGUCUUUACAAUUAAAACAUUGAAACGAAUAGGUCAAGUCGGUCUUGCUAGUCUUGGUUUAAAGACAUAUGGAGUUAGGUUCAAUCAAUCUAUGACAAGAUUUGGGAUUGUAUUAAAAGUAGGUUGGACUAAGAAUGAUGUAUAAUAAACUAAAGUACUAUUUAUGUCAAUAAAGUAUAGCUUUAUAUAUUAUUUGGUUAUCCUUGCUCUCCGUCUAGGCUCUCAUGGGUGCAAGGCCUACCCAUGAGGCCCUUUUCUCCAAAUUUGAGUCAAGUGGCUAAGGGGCUUACAACUAGCUUCUUUGCCAUAGACAAAUUUUCUUUUGUUUAUAUGUUUUAAUUGAUGCAUAUUCACUUUCUUCUUUUCUUAAUUAAAUUGCAAUAAUUAAACAUACAAUUUAAAUAAAUUUUAAAUUUUAUUUUUAACUAAAAACAAAAGUAUACAGAUACAAAUAUAUACUGCUUAAGUAAUUAAUUUUUAAAAAUUAUCCUUUGAGAACAUCUCAGACAAACUGAGACAUGCUUCCAGAGAAAUCUAAAUGUAAUGUUUUUAAAAGCUACUUUGUAAUUUUAUUUUCGAGCAUGUUGCAUAAUAUAUACUUUCCUUGAAUUGAUUUUCCAAACUAUAUUUUUAUUAGCAAUAAGGGUUAUCUACGUUUUGGAAAUUAUAAGUUAAUUAUGUUCACUUGAAUAAGAGAUUUGAACAAUCUUGUAAAAAGAUGAUAUAUAUAUAUAUAUAUAUAUAUAUAUAUAUAUAUAUAUAUAUAUAUAUAUAUAUAUAUAUAUAUAUAUAUAUAUAUAUAUAUCGUAUGGCUGAUUUGGAAAUUAUCCAAAAUGGAAAAAAAUACUAUUAUUUUGGUACAAGACCAUAUUGUUCAAUAGUGUCUCUAGAGAGUUCCAUUAGAUGCUAUCAAACAAAUAAUUUGGUGUCUCACUUGCAUAAUUUUGAAUUGUUCGAUUUUGGGUUUUGCAGGCUCUAAUUGUCGGAGGUAACAAUACAACUGUUGUCUCUUUAACAUGGGCACUCUCUCUUUUACUAAACGUACAACCACGACAUCUUAAAAAAGGCUCAAGAAGAAUUAGAUAUCCAAGUUAGCAGGGAAAGAUUAAUGAAUGAACAAGAUAUAAGUAAGUUGGUCUAUUUUCAAGCCAUUGUUAAAGAGACAUUACGGUUAUAUCCACCAAGACUACUUGGUGGACUAUGCCAAUUUACUAAGGAUUGCACCUUGGGUGGAUACCAUGUCUCUAAAGGCACCCGUUUAAUAAUGAACCUUUCAAAGAUCUAAAAGGAUCCAAGAAUUUGGUCAGAUCCAAUAGAAUUCCAACCAGAGAGGUUUCUCAUCACCCAUAAGAAUGUUGAUGAUUGGGGAAAACAUUUUGAAUUUAUUUCAUUUGGAGCUGGUCGAAGAGCAUGUUUAGGAAUUGCUUUUGGUCUUCAAAUAUUAUAUUUAACAUUAGCUAGUUUCUUACAUGCAUUUGACUUUUCAACUCCAUCAAAUGAACAUGUUGACAUGCAAGAGGCCUUAGACUUACAAAUAUGAAAUCUACCUCACUUGAAGUUCUCAUUUCUCCGGACUUAUUUUCUUGUAGUCUUUACAACUAAAACAUUGAAAUGAAGAGGUCAAAGUCGACCUAGCUAGUCUUGGUUUAAAGACAUAUAGAGUUAGAUUCAAUCAAUCUAUGAUAAGAUUUGGGACUGUAUUAAACAUAGGUUGGACUAAAAAUGAUGUACAAUAAACUAAUUAAAGUAUUGUCCAUGCCAAUAAAGUAUAACAUUAUAUAUUAUUUGGUUAGCCUUAAGGAAUGUAGCAUCAUAAUUAUUUCUUUGUUUUGUCUAAUUUAUCACCAUUUUUUCCCCUUCUCUUCUUCCCUUCUCUUCAUUAGAACAAAUAAUAUAUAGUCUUUUUAUUUUUAAAAAUCAAAUUCGAUUCCCAGUUAUAUAAGAAUUUUACUUUUACUUUAUAAUAAACUUUACUUUAAUCUUAAUAACUUUGACCAUGAUCUCCAUCAUUGAUUAAAUAUAGGGAUAAUUUCAAUCAUUUUUUCUAAGAUUGGAGUUAAAUUUACCCAUCCAUUAUUAAUUUGAAAUUUUAUUAAAUAUUUUUUUUUUCCUUUUUUUUUACAUGUAUAUCUUUUAAUUUAAAAUAAUAGUUGUCCGAUAUAUUUAUAUGAAAUUAUUUUCGAAGAGGUGAAUGAAACUAAACUUUUUUUUAAAUAUAAAAUCAUAAAAAUUUAAUAUACGCCAGCACGAUCCGGUCUAAAUAUUAUAUAUAAUUUGUGUCAUUUCAAAAAAUCAUAGAAGAUCCUUUUGGCAAGGUGGCCCCUUUGAGUAGGAAUUCUCUAAUUGGUCACUACAUAUUACAUAAUUUCAAAGAUUAUGGAGGAUCAUUUACCAAUCAUUAUCAGAAGAAGUGCUGAUUCCUGUAUAAAACUAACCAAUACGAUAUUUAGCACAUGCAAACAGAUUUGGAAGGAUCUGAAAGUCAAGCCUACGGGCCAUCCCUUUACGGCUUGUUCGAAAAAGCACAAAUUGAUGGGGUGCCACUUGCCAGCAGUCUGUUUCAAUAUCUAAAUGUUACCCAGUGGGAUUGCUUGAUAUACUUUUUGUCUCCUAGCUACCAUCUAUUAUUAUGGAGCUCCAGAGCUGGUAAGAUAAGAAUACACCCAAAAGCUGCUGGUGCAUGGCCAAUAAUCGGUCACCUCCUCUUAGGGUCACAACUUCCUGGGAUUUUUUUUUAUAAAAUUACGGUAAAUUUAAAAUUAAUUUUUUAAAAUGCGGCAUAUUGAAAAUAUGCUUGAAUAAUAAUAAUAAAAUGACAAAUAAUAAAAAGGAAAGAAAGUUGUCUUGUGGCUAUAAGAAAGAAUAAUAUAAAAGAGAGAGAUGAGGAGAGGCGGAUAGAGAGAAGAGUAGGCCGAAAAAAAAAAAAAAAAAGAGGAGAACGGGGAGGUGCUGCAAAUCUUUGGGCGUUCGAUCGUAUGACGAGCAAAACGACUUAUGUUUUGCAUGAAAGUUAAGGAGAAAAUUUUCUUUGAGGCGAGGAACAUUCCUUCAAAGUUCGAUUUUAGUUUCAAUGAUUGGAUUUUUUUAUUUGUGGUAAGAUAGUUUAAUCCUACAACUUUUGUUUAAUAUUUUGUUCUUGAAAAAAUAUUAUGAAUUUUUUUAGUGGAAGAUAAAUAUGUGUUAUUUGUGUUUUCUUUAUGUUAUUUGAAGUAUGAUUAUUCUUAAGGUUAUUAUUAUUAUUAUUGUUUUAUGAUUUACAUAUUAUUAUGAUUUUAUUUUUAAAAUUUUUAUGUUUGCAAUGAUUUAAUUGAAGAAAAACUGUUGUGUUGAUUGUUGAAAAUUAUUUAGUAUGUUGGGAAUAAAUAAAAUUUAUAUGAUUAGGGUUGAGACUAUGUUUUGAUGAUAUGUAAAUUAUUGUGAAUAUAUAUAUAUUUUAUAUUUGUAGUGAUUUAAUUGAAGAAAAAUUGUUGUGUUGUAAUUGGAAUUAUUGAUCAUGUUUGGAGUAAAUAAAAAUUAUGUCCUAGAAAAUUAUGCAUAAUAACAUGCAAGUUUAUUAUAUUUCAUAUGCAUCAUGGUUAUGUGAAAAAAAAAAUUGAUGAAAGAUUUUAUAAAAUGAAAAAGGAAAAAGAAAAUAAUGAUGAAAAGUAAAAACCUGUGAAAGAUAAAUCAAGAAGGAAAUGAGAUUUCUAGUGUAAAAAAUACAAAAAUUUAUCCCGUGAGUGUAUUUGAUAUAGAUGCAUAUCAUUAAGUGAAAACCCAAAAACAAUAGUUGAAUGUAAGCAUUUGCACCAUGUUUUCAUUUGGAAGAAGGACAUGUAUUAAAUACUUGAAUGACAUCAAUGGUAUGUUUAAAUAUAUUAUUAGAGAUUGAAAUAAUUUAUUUAUUUUGUAAGUUUAGAAUUAUUGGAUAAACCGCUAUUGACGAUUGGACCGAUGAAUGGGGCGGUUUUUCAUGAACUGCAUGGCUAAAUUCCAGCUCCAGUCUUCCUCCCAUUUUUCCUUUCAUCCAAAUAGUCCAACCUCCCCCUCCUCUUUUUCAUAGGGUCCAAGUGAAAGCCCAAUAAGCCCAGCCUUACAUUUUAAUGGCUUUUUGGCAAAACCUAAACCCAUUUAAACCCAUGGGUGGUACCUUUUUGGCAUGUACUAAUUUGAGUUAUAUGAAUUUUUGUAAUUUAAAUUAUAAUUUGUUAUUUUGUAAAAUAUUUUUUACUUAGAUUUAUGUAGAUAUUUGGGUUAAUUUGGGAUUAUAUAUUGAUCUAUUCAACUGAAAUCAUUGACCGUCAAAUUGGAUAGGAAUAACAUUUAAGGUCAACCCUUUGACCUGAUAUCACUAAUCGGAUUCUGAGUUGCCUUGAAUAGGGUGUGACUAUAAUGGAUUUUCUUCUCCAAUGCCUAAACCCUGUCAUGGUUGGAGCGUUUGCAAUACUCGUCCUCUCAUACCACCUGUUAUUAUGGAGGACUGGAGCUGGUAAGAGCAGAAUGGCACCUGAAGCUUCUGGUGCAUGGCCCAUAAUAGGUCACCUGCACCUGUUAGGUGGAUCUAAGAAUUUGCCUCACUUACUUUUUGGAACCAUGGCCGACAAGUAUGGACCAGUAUUCAGCAUCCGGCUGGGAUUAAAAAGAGCUGUGGUGGUGAAUAGUUGGGAGAUGGCCAAGGAAUGCUUCACCACCCAUGACCUGGCUCUGGCCUCCCGUCCUGAGGUUGAGGCCGCCAAAUAUUUGGGAUAUAACUAUGCCAUGUUUGCUUUCUCUCCUCACGGUGCAUACUGGCGUGAAGUGCGUAAGAUAGCUACUCUAGAGCUACUCUCGAAUCGCCGGCUAGAAUUGCUGAAGAAUGUCCGAAUCUCAGAGGUGGAGACAUGCAUGAAGGAACUAUACAAGCUUUGGGCAGAGAAGAAAAACGAAGCGGGCGUUGUUUUGGUGGACAUGAAGGAAUGGUUUGGGCACUUGACUCUGAACGUGAUUCUUAUGAUGGUUGCUGGAAAACGAUAUUUCGGUUAUACAGGCGAAAGUAAAGAGAAAGAGGCCCAGCAGUGCCGGAAAGCGAUUAGGGAAUUCUUUCGUUUGUGGGGACUCUUUGUGGUGUCAGAUGCCAUUCCUUUUUUUGGAUGGCUUGACGUGGGUGGACAUCUGAAAGCCAUGAAGAAGACUGCAAAAGAACUGGACGGUAUUGCUCAGGAAUGGUUAGAGGAACACCGGCAGCGAAAAGAUUCUGGUGAAGCUGAUGGUAACCAGGACUUCAUGGACGUGACGCUGUCCAUUCUGGGUGGUAGAGACAUUACUGAUUAUGAUGCUGAUACCAUCAACAAAGCUACAGCCCUGGUAUGCACAUUAUUCCUUUAGCAUCUUUAUAUGGUAGUAAAAAAUGAGACAUAAUUUCAUGCUUUAUCAUCUUUAGUCCAGACUCAAGAGUACUUGGGCCUGGGUUGGAAGAACUUAUUUUUGCUUUGUUUCAAGUCGAAACUAAUCAAAAGCAGCGAUUUUUAAAAGGUAAUUAUAAUAAUGGUAUUAUAAAAGUUCAAACAUAAAAUAACUUUUUGCAUAAAUCAAAAUAGAAUUUUUAUAUAUACAUAUAAAAUGUUUUUCUGAUCUUCAUAUUAAUUUUUUUAAGUCAUAACUUUUUUGAACAAAAUUAGUCAAACCAUAGAACUCUUGAACUUACAAAAAAGGGCUUUCGAUUUCUUAGAAGUAGAUACAUGUAGAUUAUGAAAGUAUGUUCCUUAGUCCGCAUGGUUUGAGGCCUCUUUGAGUGGGCUUCUAGAGUCGGUUAGACAAUUGGGCCUUUCAAAGGAUUUCCUAAAUUUACAUUUUUUUUAGCCCAACUUGAAUUUUUAUAAAAUGCUAUAUUUAUACGCGAGUUUCAUAUUCAAGCUAAACAUACCCAUUUUGAUUGGAAAAAAAAGGAAAGAAAAUGGGGCCUUUUUUCCACCCUUAAUCCUAUCACUACUUUUAAUUUUAUUUUAUUAGUUAAUGGUUUGUAUUUCACAGAUUCUGAUUGGAGGAGGCACUGACACUACAUCUGCUACUUUAACAUGGGUCAUCUCACUUUUAUUAAACAAUCCAGAUGUAUUAAGAAAAGCCCAAGAAGAAUUGGAUGCUCAUGUUGGUAAAGAAAGACUAGUAAAUGAAAUGGAUAUAAGCAAGUUGGUCUACCUUCAAGCAAUUGUUAAAGAGACAUUGAGGAUAAAUCCAACAGCUCCACUUUCAGGACCGCGUCAAUUCAUCCAAGAUUCUAUUUUAGGGGGUUACCAUAUCUCAAAAGGCACUCGUCUUAUAUUGAACCUUACCAAGAUCCAAAGAGACCCAAGAGUAUGGUUGAAUCCAAUGGAGUUCCAACCAGAUAGAUUCCUCACCACCCAUAAAGAUGUUGAUGUUAGAGGUAAACAAUUUGAGUUGACACCAUUUGGAGGUGGAAGAAGAAUUUGCCCUGGAGCAGUUUUUGCCCUUCAAGUGCUACACUUAACAUUAGCCAACUUCCUGCAUAGAUUUCAACUUUCAACUCCAUCAGAUGCACCGGUUGAUAUGAGCGAGAGUUUUGGAUUAACAAACAUCAAAUCCACUCCACUUGAAGUUCUUAUCUCCCCACGCUUGGCUUCUUAUGAUCUUUAUGAGUAGAACUUGAGGUCGCUAAGAGACUUAUUUCAAAAAACCUAGUGCUAUGAAAUGUGAAAUAAAAAUAAAUUUCACACAUGUAGCAUAAGUUUAGUAUUAUUUUCAAGCAGUUACUCAUGUGUGUCCUUUAAUAUUGUCUUAGCUUGAAUUUAAUGAAAAAUAUUUUCGACACCU
Molecule: long non-coding RNA, 60595 nt
Filed under: Vitis vinifera (wine grape)
Lineage: Eukaryota; Viridiplantae; Streptophyta; Magnoliopsida; Vitales; Vitaceae
Description: long non-coding RNA (VVIN_LNC006037)
Source: RNAcentral